Molecule: long non-coding RNA, 61187 nt
Filed under: Phoenix dactylifera (date palm)
Lineage: Eukaryota; Viridiplantae; Streptophyta; Magnoliopsida; Arecales; Arecaceae
Description: long non-coding RNA (PDAC_LNC005155)
Source: RNAcentral
UUUUCUCACGGGAACGCUCCUCUCCAUCGCGCUUUGCUGCGCUUCGUUCUCCACACAGAGAGAGAGAGAGAGAGAGUCUUGGUGGUGGAGUGGACGGGAAAUAAAGUUUUGGCGAGAGUGACAUAUAGGCUAUUUUCCUUUUCUUUUUCUUUUUAUUUUUUCUCUCCUCAUUAGUGGGGGGAGCUCGAUCUCCGGAGUUGACGUAGCAGUCAUCUCUUUUUCUCCCUCUGGAUCUCGUCACCUUUGUUUGGAGUAACAGCCGUUACCAUUGUUUGGAAGCAUGAAUAUAUCUUAAUAUUGGAUUGCAGUAUAUUUUUUUUUGACAUUUUUUAGAGAGAGAGAAAAAGGAGGAUGAUGCAAUAAUCUAAGGAGCUGUAUUAUAUUAUAUCAUCUUAGAGCUUACUGCAAUAUACUUCUUCUAAGUCAAUGCAUAAAACAAAUUAUUUCAAGUCACCAUUUAUGCACAUUUAUCAAAUCAUAAUACCUAACUUGGCGCUCCCGUAGCCAAGGGAUUCAAAAAAAUUGGUAAUAAAUCCAAGAGCUGCACUAAUCUCCUCCUAUCAUAGAAAAAGAAUAUUCUUUUUCACGUAACAGGAACAUAUAGUAUUACUUAUAAAAUUACAUACAUAAAAUGCCAUUAUUAAAAGAAAAUUGAAUAAAUUAAAAUUAUUUAACUAAAGUAAACUUAUUAAUGAAGGAAUGAUACCUAUUGAGUUGUUUGCUUUAUUAAAAAUUUAUUAUAAUAGGCUUUUAUGGCUUCUUAUGUAAAAUAACAUUUACUUGAUACUUUCAUGGAUGUCUUUCGAAAAAAGCAUAUCAUAUAGGAUAUAAUUUAAUUUUCUUAACCAAUAAAAAAUAAAGUUGCCAUUGACAUAUUUUAUUAUUUGUCAUGGUUAUAAAAUUUUGCAAAUCCGAUAAAUAUCUGGUGCAACUCGCCAAGAUGUUUAUCAGGUUUGUAUUUUCCUUCCACCCGUAGAUACUGCCAACGGCACAUCUCGGCUAAUGCAGCAGCAUAACAAUUUCAAAUUUUGAAUUUAAAUUUGCACCUGUGCAACGGUCGGGUCGUAACGGCCCUCAGGUUGAGGUAACGGGUAUUUAUUUGCACCUGUGAUGGGAUCUGGGGCGCACGUGGCCUUAGCUGGUGAUGUCUAUUUUUCGGGGGGAAAAGUAUCUGGAUGAUGGAUGGCAUGAUGCUGACGACUCUCCUCCCCUCCAUUGUAAAAUGUUUCCUAAAUUACUAUUUUACCCCUCGCGCUUGAAUAAUUUUUGACCGGCAGCGGACCGGCAGGUGUCUGUGGACCCGUUCGGGCAGCAUAACUCGCCUCACAAAUUGGAAGAUUGGACGGUAGAUUUUGUCUCAACCGACGCUACUAUUUUAACUAAAAGUUGUUGGGGAUGAUUACUGUAUGCUAACGAGAAAUUAGUCCUGUAAUCCAAGCAGUUAAAUGACACCAUCACAGGGUACUCCUUUAAAAAGUUUGCCCAAUGGACCUUUUUCCCCCUCCUUCUAAAUAAUAUCCUUGAUUCACAGGGUCUAAAGUUUUGAUACAUUUGCUAAUUGGUUUGGCUAAUUCCAUUUAGCCAUCCCAACACUAAUUUCCAUAUUCUUCAUUAGAAAUUUUAAUCUAAGCUUGCUAGGGCUUGAGGGGUUAGAGGUGUUUUAUCUCCCAAUGUACAGUAGUUUAUUGUCUAUAGUUCUUCCUAUCAAAAAGAAGAAAGUACAUGUCUUGUUAUAUUGAGAGUAUGUGUGAUUAAUGAAAAUCUGUAAAAAAAAUAAUGGAUUUGACUUAUUAACAAUUAUUCUUACCAACAUGGCAAGAGUGUAUAGGUGCGAGAAGAGGUUUGGUGACUUUAUUUUGAGCAAUUACUUCUAAUAUUUCUUCCAUGCAAUCUCGAUGUGAGAAGAGGAAUUGAGCAAGAAUAUGAGUGAUACAUCACUAAAUUUUGUUUGUGAUUAGCCUUAGUUUAAUCAAUAAUCCAAUCCUCUUAGCACUUAGUCCUUCUUGGUUUAAAUUUUAUAGGAUGCAUGAAAAAAAUCAAGUAAAGUUAUCGAGGUUAAUGAUAUAUCGCAUGGAAUCUGAAAAUGAUGCGCUUACAUAAAUCAAAAGCAGAGAUGGAGGAUAGGAUGCUCUACUUUUUCUUUGACCUUUUUUUCAGCUGCUCCUAAACCAAACAAAGGUACCAAAUCACUGGAUGAUUAAAUUUUAACUACCGGGCCCAUGUGAGAGAUCAAAUGAGGCAAAAGAUACCUCUGAGAUCCGAAGAACAUAGGAUUUAAUAUUUUAAAAUUAUAGUUCGACGCUUUAAUAUCGUCACAGUGAGUGAUACAUUUGUCGUCGUUUGCAUUUUUGGUGUAAGCUUGUAAAUGGUGAUGUGAACGCCCUAACAAGUGCACUAUUUUUCAGAACCAAAUUUGGGUAAUCAAAGUAGAGUAAAAACUUAGCCUCUGUGCCUCUAUUUAAUUAUAGCUGAUAAGUUCACUAAUUGGCAUUGUUUAUAUUAUCCUACUCAGGACAUAAUGUUUUACGGAUAAGUUCUUGAAGUUUUUUGGUGGCCUUGGCAGAUGCCGUAAGAAACGGCAAGCGAGUUAAGAAAAGCUUAGCUUAUCGCGUGUGCACAAAGAGAAGAAUCAAAGUUCUGACAUGAGAUCGAAGUUUAAGAAGAAAAAGAUAUUGAUGACCUAAGCUUGCACAUGCUCAUCAUGUGAAGAGGAUAUCUAGAUAAGAACAAACUUUGGUAAAUCUCUUCUUUAUUAUAAUUUCACGACGCUUUGGAGAUUGAUUCCACCCUCGAACACAGCUCCUAUCUGAGCGUUUGCUUCCCAUGAUUCCUUUCUGUUCGAUUCCUUGAACCUUGCCCAAAAUUCGAUUCCCUGUUCCCUUCCUUGUGGCUGUGCGAUGUGAUUGGCUCAUGCGAUGUGUUUGCUCCUAUCCUAGUAGAUUGCCGGUUCCACACUUUUUCUUUCUUUCUUUUGAGAAAUAGAGAAGGAAUACCACCAAUAAGAUUAUAACUGUAUCAACUCAGAACUUUACCAAAAAUGACUAGUUGAAAGAUAUUAUUUGAAUUUCUUAAUCCUAUAUAAGUACUCAAGAUUUAUCAAGCAAAUAAACGAUGUGGGACUAAACACACGUCCAUAGGGAUCCUUACAUACUCUCUCGUUUAAGCCAUGUCGUUUCCAUCAGACUAAAAGUUCAAAUCCAAUCACAAUCACCGUGGUCAGCACAUGAUUAAUCCUAAUGGAUCUGCACUGCAACGUCCAUGAGUCCACUUAGAUUAUAAACCGGGUCGCUCUGAUGCUAUUUGUAACAACCCAGAAUCUUACCCAAAAUGAUGAGCCGAAAAAUAUUAUUUGGAUUUCUGGAUUCUAUAUAAGUAUCCAAAAUCUACCAUGCAAAUAACCGACAUGAGACUAAACAUAUAUUUGCAUAGAUCUUCACAAAAAUUUUGAAUUUGAAGUUCCAACCUUUGCUCUUUUGGCGAGGAGGAUUAUGGUUUGCAAAAGCAAAAAGUUAUGCGAGAUUUGAUCAAACUUUAUUUUUUAGUUUUUGGAGGGUUGUGGGGAAGAAUCCACGGUGACUGGGGACACUGAACCUCCCUCAAAAAAAGGGAGUGACCGUUGGAGCUUACCCUAUGCACCUAUUACUGCCCUGUUGUUGUAGAUCUUAGAGUUUUGCAAUGAUGAAUGCAUCUGGAUUUUCAAGUUUACUCGCCUGUUUAACAACUCUUGCAUGAUGGCAUUGACCAUUCAUAUGGUAGUGGCAAUAGUUGGUACACUUGUCAUGAUGCAAUCUUGAAAAGGGUAUGGCAUACUUGUAGUCAAACUGUUGAAAAUCUUUAUCAUCUUUACCUUUACCCCCAUCCUUAGCCAUUGCUCAUCGUAAGUCAUCUAAGAAGAUCGCUAGAGUGAUUAAUGAAGCUCUAGGGCAACAUAAAGCAGUAUUACUUACCUUUUAUUUUUUUGAUAGGACAGAUGAAUCAUAUAAUUCUAGUACGAAUAUAUCCAAAAGAGCCAAAAAAACAAAAAUAUCCCAAAAAGGAGAUGGCAAGGUCGCACCACUAAUCCGCAACACUUCACUAGAGCACUCAACAACAAAGAAUGAAACCCUCACGAUAGCCAUGAUACCCAUCCAAAUCUAGGUUGUUCUUGAGUAAACUUUAGGCAUUGGUAGAUGGUCAAUCAUGUCCUUUAAGAAAUCCCAAAGGUCAAAUGGCCUAAGAGAUUGAAUAGGAGUGUGUUGGUAGAGGUUAGGUUGAGUUGGUACAAUGGGGCUUUAUAGCUUUUGUGGGCAUUUUCUUGGCUUUCAUCUCCUAUUUUUAGGGUGGUUUGAUUCUGCAAAGGCACCCCAAAGUAUAAUCUGAACAACCCCAUCAAACAAAUGGUGCAAAAUGGCAACAAUUUCGGAGUGUUUGCCAAAAAACAUUUCAGUAAACUAAUGAAUUUGAUAAGUGAAGAUGGCAACUUGAUAUGUAAGAUUAGAAAGGACAAAAAGAAAUAUAGAUUUAGGAGUAUCAACCUCUUACACCAGAACUUAAGACAGUUCAUCCUGUUCGAAUGCAGAGGUUCGAUAAUUGAGUCCUUAUAUUGUGAAAUUUGACAUGCACUGGAUCCAACAAGAACUAUAGAUUUUUCGGGCAUGGAUCUUCAAUGAAUCUUAUAAAAUUGAAAUGAAAUUAUCGAUUAUGAGCAAAUCGAAGUAUCAAGCUGGUUUCAAUUCUGCAUGGACAAUAUGCUUGAUUUGAAGAAGGGAUUGAAUUCACUAUCAUGUCAUGUCUAGAUUAAGAGAUUUAUAAUGUCGUUUGGUGUUUCUUAAAAUGCAUUCUUUUGACCUAGGCAAUUAAUGUGCUUUAGAAGAAUUAUAGGUCUCAAACUAUGAUUCCCUUUAUAUUUUUUUUGUGUGUGUAUGUGUAUCCAUGAAGAAACAAAUCUGACCUGUUACAUUAUUUGGUUACCGUCAAGAAUCAUAUGUACAAAUAUGUAGCCAUCCCUUUCAUUUUCAAAUGCAUGACAUUUUAUUCUAACUGUUUUCGUUGAAAGUACGUAAUUUUCAUCAUAUAUUUAGCAUUCCUCAUCUGAUGAGUCAUGAGGUCUAAGUGUCUUUUAGAAGUACCAUUCGGUCCUUCAUCGAGAUUGGACUCCAACACCCCCCUUGGAUAAUCUUGUUAUGCACACCAUGAAGAGAGAUGGCUUUUCAUUGAUUGGCCAUGGAGGAUGUGCUUCCUUCAAGGAUCUUGGAAGGAACCAACCAAAGCUUUAAGCUUAUUGUUGUAAGAGCAAAUGGCAUGAGUGAAUGAGUUGAUCAGUGGCAGCGGUGGCUAAUGAGUGAGAUUAAUAUGUGGCCAAAGCUUAGUUAAAAAGGAAAGGCCACCAUUAAAAAAAACAACAAAUAUAAUCCUUAAGGCUAAUAUAGUAUUGAGCUAUCUUCUGAAACUUGGGCUCUCAGUUCCAAACGUCCAGGAAUUUAGUCAUGUUUAAGCCUAAAAGGGUAUAAAGAGAUAAGUUCCAAGAGCAAGAGGCUUAUCUUAAAAUAUCACUUAGGAGCAAAAGCCAAACAUAUCAUCUAUUGGCUUUUCACAUUUCUAACUAUAAUAUACGAGCAAAGCUACUUUACAAAGAAUUUUCUUAUUGUAAAAGCAUGCCUAGAGAUGAGAAAAAGUGGAUAUAGUAUAGUUUAAACACAAGAAAGAGAAUCCAGUCAUCAUAAAUACAUUGACAAGGUACCAGAAAGAGCUUCUUGAAGGAAUAUACCAAAAAAUAUUAAUUCUUAGUGCAACACUUGCUUAGAGAUGUGUGAAAGUAGAACAGAAGAAAGAGAUAUCCAUUCACCAUAAGCAUAGUGACAUGGUACCACAAAAAUUUCUGGAAGACAUUAAGCAAAAAAUAUAUUAAACUGGCUAUGUUGUAUGGCCCAAAAUGCCAGAAAGUAGAUGGCAUCAGUUAAAAAAAAAUAUCAAGGAAAAUAAAUGUUUUUAAGUUUAGAAAGAAUGAGUUCGAGCUGUACAGGUUAAAUUGUUUAGAAGAAGGCGCAUGGCAGCACCUGUGGAGCAUAACAGAAGGCCCAGUAUAGAGAGAGAUGUAUAGUAGUUAUUUCAUGCUUUAGGGGCCCCAGCUAGAAUGAGAAACACCCCAUUUCAAAUUGUAUAGGAUGAAAAACCUGUAACAUUGAUCUCUUCUUACCCUUAAAGCAACAAGCAACUACAAUAGAUAUCUAAAAUAGAAACCUCUGAGGAAAAUGUUUUAACAAGAAUAAAACCAUUUAACUAUGCUGCAUUUUUUGCACAAGUAUAUAUGACAUAUUCUAAUAUUCAACAUUUUGAUUCAUUUGAUCUCUGAAAAGCAGCAAUACCUGGCAUAUAUUCAUAAGAGAUAAAAAGGAUUAUCAUCAAACUACCGACUCAGAAGACACCAUAGAGCAGUAAAUCCAAUGAAAUACAAAUCCAGCUCUGCCAACCACUCCAAAGCAAAUGAAGGCCUCAUCAACCCACAAUAUCACCAAACACAACUUGAAAAUUUUCAUACUGAGAAACAACAACAUUAAUGAAUAGGAAAAGAGUCCUUUUUCAGUUCAACAUUAAACCAAGGGAUAUGAAUACCUCAGUAGAACUUACACUUCGAAGAAAUGAAGAACAACGCCUUUCACACUUCAACCUCUGAUGACGGUUCCCAGACUCUGAUCUCAUCUGUGCAAAUACUAAGCAAAUCAUGCAUCAUCUUCUGCAAGCAGCACAUUAUAUCCAUUAUUGGUAUCUAUUUCAAAAGGUCAAAACAAGAUCAUGUAAACUGAUUGCAGAAUUAGAUAAAAGAAAAGCAGUAGAAAUCUCCUCACUUGACCCUAGCUCUUUUAAUCUUUAAUAUCUAUGAUAUGACAUAUCACUAACAAAAAAAUAAAAAAGAUAGAGAGCAGCAUGAUUAUGGAAACUACCGAGGCAAUUCAUCUAUUUUGGUGGAUGAGCAGGAAAUGUGGAUCCAUUAAAGUCUUUCAUGCCUAAAGUGGAAUAUACUUAGCACAGUACAACUUUUCCGAAGUAAGAUCUUAAGGGCAACCAAAUUGAAAAAAGAUGACUUUUUUUCAUUUGUUUAACUGAGAGGAAGAAAGAGAAGACAUGCCCGCCCAAGGAAAGUUACCCAGGUUCAUAUACCGUAGGAUGCACCACUCAGGACUCAAACUUGGAACCACCCACUAGGAGAGGAAUGUAACCACUAGUGUGCUUUCUGUUCGUAGGAGAAAAAUAUGAAGUCAUCUAGGUUGAUGGUAGGAAUUUUGCUGGAGCUUUAGUUGCUGGAAAUAAAGGCACAUAGACUAAAAGACCAGAAAAGCAUACAUAAUGAGGAAGUAAAAAUGAGGACCUUAAGUGGGUAGGAAAGAUGCAGAAUGGCAUAUAAUUUGAAUGAAAUGGACCAGUUUUGUUCACGAUUAGUCAGUCCAGAAUCAAAACAGUCAGCAAAUCUAAUUUGGAUGAUACUACGAGAAAAUUUUAUUGAUAUCCUCUUUCAAUGUUUUGCAAGACUUAUUGCUCAUAUUGAUUCCUUAACAAACUCCAGCACAAACAAUGCAUUUCAGAGUCAAUAGCAUUUGUCUCAUAUUUAUUUCAGAAUUGAUGGAAAGAAUUUUGUUUUGAACGAAAAGGUGAGAACAACAGGGAGAAAAAAACAACAGCUUUUGCUCAAAAUCGCUACCAAUCAGUCAAAGGUUGUGGUUUGAAACUAACUUGAAAAACAGAUCUUUCAUGGAAGAUACAGCCUACCAAGGCCUCAAUUAUCAGCAUAAUUUUGAGAAUGUGCUGCCCCUCAAAGUGUUAGAGAAAAUGAAGAGUACAAUCAUUGUAAUAUUUUUAAAAAAACCUUCUGGAAGUCACAAAUUGUCAUGUAGGGAAGGCUGAACCUAGGACCUCUACAAGAACAAGAUUAACAACAAAUGUUUACAACCGCAAAUAGUUGAGAUGGUUGUGCUUCUUCCCCUCCUCAAUAUAUGUAUGGACACCUGAAACAUAUCACGAACUAGAUCAAUAACUGGAGAAGAAGCACGUCCAUCUCAGGUUUUAAGGCUAAGAAAUCCAGUUAGGACAUUUGAGCCAUUACAGAGAACUUCAAAGAAGAACAAGAAAAGAAACAAACUAAAAGAAAAGAUAGCGUUUAAAAAAAUAAAAAUAUUGGUGCGGCUCAUUCUAUAUAUGAUCUAACUUCUACAUUCCUGCAAAAGAUUGGGUUAGAUUUAGGACAACUCAAUUCAGAGGCCCAGUAAUUCCCAAAACCACAGCUGUGACAUUAUUAGAUGUUGAGAAAACAGUAAUUAAAAAAAUCGCUUUUAAGAGGCUAAGCAAUCUAAAUUAGGAUUUGAUGUAGUGAAAGAUACGGAAAAAAUGCUCUUCAUGCCUUCCCAGGCAUGCAUGAGAUAGGUAAUAUGCUCCAAACUAAGCAUGCAUAUGCCAAAAUAAGAAGGAAUGAGACAAGAAGAGAAGGUGAAAAGGAGAUGAAAAUAGCCUUAAAAGUGGGCCUUCCCAACAUAAAGUAAUAAUAGUCAUAUAUCAUUGUUUAUUAAUGAACUUUUCUUGACUAAUCUUUCAGUGACUUCAUAUUGACUCUCAGUUUCAUGAUCACAUAAGGGUACAAAAGGAUAAUGGGGCACAUGAUCCAAACUCAACCCAUGUGGAAGUGAGUCCUGAUUUUUGGCCCUAAUUUGAUCCCAUUGGUACAGGUUAGACCAAGGUCGGUGGAACCGUCCCGAACUGGACAGCUCCGCUCGUACCAAGCCAUCCCGGCAAUGGAUCGGGAUGGUUCCGAAAACGGAAACGAAACUGUUGCCGAAGGAGAAAAAACGAGAAGAAAAGAUAGAAAAAGGGNNNNNNNNNNNNNNNNNNNNNNNNNNNNNNNNNNNNNNNNNNNNNNACGAAGACUGAGACGAAGGCGAAGCAGAACCAUGCCGCCGAGCUCUCUAGGAAAUGAGCAUCUUAACGCACCUCUGGAUCCUGCUUGCUUUUUUAGCCGUUGCGGAGGCCCGAUGAAGCUCGUAGACUGUUGCAGACGUUGCAAAUUCUGCCACUCUUUUGGACAAAGCCCUCGCUUGCCCUCCUUUCUCGUGUGAUUCUGAGGGCCGGCACCCGAGCAGCAGAGGAAUGGAUGUAGCCUCCGCUGCUCGGGCAGUCGGCCUCCGCCGGCCCUUCACCGGCCUCCGCCACUCUCCGCCAGUCUCCCUCCCUCUCUUCCCCAUCUCUCUCUUUUCCUCUCUCCCGUUCGCCCUCUCUUCCGCCUCAUCUACUAUGUCGGUACAGGUCCGACAUAGCACGACGCAGUCCCGUACCGACUCGUGCCACCAAGCAACCGGUCCGGUGCCCGGUACCCGCACAGCAGACCAUGGGUCAGACAACAUCCAUCUUUUCUACCUUUUAAUUACCAAAUCAAGAUUGUCACAAACGGAUAUGCUCCAUCAGAUUAGAACUAAUUAGUUAGGUUCCAUGUAAGUAGGAUUGGUUGUGUAUGGGCAUUGUUCGACAAAUGGUUGUGCAGUGAGACCAAAAGGGGGGGAGAUGCCAGAGUGGCAUGAACUUUCCAAGCCCAAGAAACAUCUCCAAGUCCACUUUGAAUCAAGCUGCAGCCUGUUUAUUAAAAAAAGAAGGAAAAGAAAACGAUUCUUUGAAGCUCUCUAUGUCAAAGCAUACUCUCACAUGAGAUCAGAUGGUGUAGAUAAAGAAGUAUUCAUGCCUUAAUUUUAUUAUUGGAUAUUACUCCUGGAAAUGAAAAUUCAAUGCAAAUGUGCAUCAUCCAUACCACAAUCAGAUAAAUAUUUACACAUUCAGUAAAUUUUUUUCCCUAAGAGGAUUGAGAUAAAUAUCAUCUACUCUAUGCCACUAAGUAAAUUUUCUGCAAAAGAAACACAUUAGAGACACAAACAAUUUUAUUCUCAUGCAGCUACCUUCUCUAGGUAUACAAAGAAGAAUCACGAAACAGAUUAAUUGAAAAACAGUACUCUUUUUAGUGCAUUUAGCAAAACUCAUCAAAAUAAGUAACAUAAUACAUAUUUAGUAUAUUGAUACCAUAGUUAUCACUAAACCAUAUGCAUUCAAACAUGGUUCUCUGUGUUUUUAAAUUAAUAAAGAGUGUUGAUACAUUUAUCAUUGGAUCAUACUCCUGGAAGUGAAAAUUCAAUGCAACACAGCUGCAUGUAUGUUAUCUUGAUCUAGUGUCAAAGAAUAUGGGCGAAUGUGCAUCAGCCAUACCACAAGAUAAAUAUUUACACAUCCAGUAUGUUUUCUAAGAGAUUUGAGAUAAAUAUCAUCUACUCCAUGCCACUAAGUAAUUUUUCUGAAUAUGGAACAUAACAGGGAAAAACAAAUAAUACUCUCAUAUCAACUAGCUUCUCUAGGCAUACAAAGAAGAAUCACAAAAUAGAUUAAUUAAAAAAAACUCUUUUUAGUGCAUUUAGCGAACAUCAUCAAAAUAAAUAACAUAAUAUGUGUUUAGUAUAUUGAUACCAUAGUUAUCAUUAAAUUGUAUGCACUCAAAAUGUUUCUCUGUGUUUUUAAAUUAACAAAGAGUUUUGAUACCUUUUGUAGAAGCCUUGCGAUAUAUAUUUUUCCGGCUGUCAUCAUUUUUCCAUUCACUCUCAUCAUCAUCUGCUUCUCCUCUUCUAUCAUUUCCAAUAUCACUUUCACUGGCUGUCUCCCACUCAGAGUCAUCAGCCCGUUCGCCAAAUACAUCUCCAGAAUCACCAUCACAAUGAACUCCCCCAUGCUUUAUAGCUGCUUCUCCGAAUAGCCAUGCAGCACGCAUCUGCUUCUUCACUAACCUUUCAGCAUAAUCAGGAACUUUAUUCUGCCUCAAGGACAGGUCAGGAUCAUUUGACUGAGAACACUCAUUAACGAAUAGAAUAGCAUCUAACAAGCUCUCCUUAGCUAAACCAAGCAUAUCAUAUGCUUGGGCUCUUCUCCACAGGCUUUUGGCAUGAUGAUUAGGAGGGUUAUGAAGGCACAAUGCAUGUGUAGCAUCGCUUAUGGCUGCCAAUGGUUGCUGCAAGAGAAGAUAGCACUGAGCCCUAUUGCUGUACAACACAACUCUCUCUUUUUUUGACUUCACGGGGCACAAUGCCAGUGCUUCGGAGUACUUUGACGCAGCUCCUGCAAUAUUACCGGAAGAAAAUAAAGAAUUCCCUUCCAGCUUAACAACCAGUGCUGCUGCCUGCUUUAUAUGUAGAUCCUCCUUUGGCAUAUUCUUCUCCCAUUUUAAUCUCUGCCUGGAACUCAAAAGUUCAUCAAUCUGUUCUUUCGUAUGGCUACCGCAUGCUGUCCCAAUUGACUGUAUACAUGCUUGAAGAACACUAACAAUACUGUCGCCAAGUCUUUUAUGAUCACCAAGAGUUGAAAUUUCUGCUAAAUCUGUAAGUGCUGGGGCUGCCUUAUCUAUCACCUAUUAAACACCCAAUACAGCGCCCUUCAGAGAAAUACAACAAAUUCUAUGGCUAAAGAACUCUUGAUGUAUUUCUAAUAAAAUCCCCAAUUGGUUAACAGUAUAUGAUGAGUAUUGCUAAUUGUGCUAAUUAAAAAGCCAAUAACUCCACGAGCCUGAACAAGAACUUUUAGAGCAAUAGUAUCUUAAUUUUAACCAGACAUAGAAUUAUCAAUUGUCUACUCUUUUGCACGAUGUUUGCUAUGUCAUUAGUCACAGAAUUUAAGAUGUUGAUCAAAGUGAUCAUGUCUACAAGUUUAGGAAAAGUGUGAGAUAGGACAAAUUUUGUUUAUAAUUGAUCUAUAGAUGAUCUUAUCUGAGUAUAGCUCCUUCAUAAAAUGAACAAAUGCCUAAGAUAGUUGGCAAAUUUUCCACUAGAAUAAUUGGCUAUGGUUAAGUUUGGCAAUGUCAAGAAACCAAGUCAAUUCUUCUGUUUGAAUUGCAGUGUUCUGGAAAUAAAGUGUUGCAUCACCUUACUACUCUUGACGGCCUCAUGGAUGGACGAAAGAAGGGAAGUUACAGAAUUUGGGGUAGUGAAGGCUCGCAAAGUAGCUAGCAAGCCCCCACCCCGUAAGUCCUGUGUUGCCAUAGCGUGCCCUAAUUCAAUAAGGGCUGUUUCUCUUGCUGAUUUUAAAGCUUGCUGGGAGAUGGGAUUCAUUCACAAGCAUUCCUGCUAGCACUACGAAAAGCUCCGGUUUUAACGCCCUUACGGAAGCUGUGCAGUCUUUCCUCAAGUUCAUAGAAUCGGGUUUCCCAUUUACCCACAACAUUCUCAAGCUUGGAACUGUGGACAAAGCUAUUAAAGCUUGUGCUAGAUUUCUCAGACAGCAUCUUCUGGAGGAAGAUGGGGCCUACAGGACUGUCAGUCUGAUGAUUGCUCUAUGCUCCAGUUUCUUCAUGUGAUGAUCUAGAUUAGCUAAUAACUGAAUUUGAAACGUCCAUCAUUGUAAAGUGCCGCUAUUAUGUUAGGGAUUGGUUUCUUUUUGAGGUUAGAACAUGGAAGGUUGUGCAGAUGAUCUUAUCUGCCUGAAAGGAACAACCAGCAUGUAAAGAAAUGAAGCAGAUCUUGCAUUUGUUCGAAUACAGUCCCGUGGAAAGGAGUGGCUUAUGUAUGACGUCAACAUUGUUUUCAUAAUCACAGUGUCUCGUACAUCAACAAACAAGAAAUCUCAUGUGUGAGGGUGUUUAGAAUCUCAAGAUGUGGCUGUAAGGCUAACAGCCUUUACAUAUUCCAUUCCAGGGCAUCAGUUGCCAGAUUCAUUUCUAAUUGCUCUUUGUCCUAACCAUGUUCAGUAGAGGGGGUUGAACACAUAGCGCAGCUUCAUUUGAAAGCUAGAGGAAAAAAUGAUCAGAUGUAGAUAACAUAAAAACAAAUAAUCACCUUAUCAAAUUUCACCAUAGCAGACAGAUGAAGAUGCCAGCUUCCAUUACAAAAAAUGGAUAAGCAAAUAUAAUGAAAGGAACAUACAUAGAUGUAGCAUAUUACCUUAUGGCAGGCACUUGGAUCUUGAAGUAACCAAAGAAGACAAUCAAUAGCCAUGUACUGCCAGUCAUCAGAUGAACGAGCUAUAUUACAUAGCGCGUCAAUGAUACCAGGACAGUUAGCAACAGGACUCCUCCCAAGCUUAUGCUGGCAAAUUGUUCGCAGUAAACCAAUACCUGCUGGGGAGUUCUCAUUGACAAGCCCUCCCCACAUGCCUGGUAAUUUUAUUAAAAAUUCUGGCUUGCAUAUAUCAUGGAGAAACUCAGGCUUGAAAGCAAAGCAGUUAAUGAGCUGAAGAGACCAGCACUGUAACUGACUGGCCCAUUCCUCUGCUUUCCUGGACUCCAUAUCCACACCACCCAUGCCCCGUGUAAGUAGAUCGCAGUGAUAGCUUAGUCUCCUAUCCACAAACUGGUAAAAGUGAGAGUAGACAAUCUCUAGAGAACUUGAUGCCAGCUGAAUGGCAAGCUCAAGGACUUCUCCGUGACUUGCCACUGCAGGGAAUGUACUAGGAUAUGUAGCCAAGUGUCCCAGGGCCCUAACUGCUACCCUUUGCUCCACCCAGGUCAGCCUACCUCGUAAAAGUUCAACUAAGGGAGGAAUGACUCCAGCAUGCACCGCAGUUUCUGCAAACUCUUCCAUAUUCAUGGUGUAAGAUCCGAUUAUAUGAGCUGCAUAGUAGGGGAUGUAUAUGUUCUGGUCGUGUGUAAGCCAACGCUUGUUCUUUAAGCCCUUCCAUAUCAAUGCAGCCAUGCAUUCAAAUAUUCCCAAGUUAAUAAACUCGGAAUCAUUUGGAUGUGCCAUGGCAGUGUUCCAAAGGCCACUGAUCGGGAGAACUUGGCCUUCAUCAUCUUGAGAAGGAAGCUCUCUAAAAAACUUCAGUAUACUUGUUCUUCGUUUGUUUGCAUUUCCCUCCUUCAUGACACAGAAGAAGCAUCCUGGGUAAGGACAGUCAGGUGCAAUGUUAUCCAUGGUGGAAGGACCAACUGUUAGCCUUGGUUCAUUCAUUUUAAUUCCUCAUUGUAUCUGGGUACUCUUAUAGCUGCAACAUUUAACCACAUGAGUUAAUGCAUCAAAUUAUUCAAAUAUGAAUUGAUAUGCAAGUAUUUGGAAAGUAAGAAUAAGACCAUGAUAAUCAGAGAAAUCCUAUUAUGAUUGCAGAACAACUGCAAAGUUGAUUUGUAACAAAGCAGGAGAGUACUUGUAUGCAGUAUAACUUAUGUCUAGUUUGGCAUAUCAAGCUGAAGAGGUUAUUGAAGCAAAUAAAGUUAUAUUGCAUAAAAAGAGUCCUGCAUGGGAAUGUUUUGCAGGAUAAAUGUUCAAGCAACUGCUAAAAUACAAAUGAGGAAGCAUGGAAAAAUGAUUGAGAGUAUUGCAUGUCUCCUCACCAAAAAAGGAUUGAAUUAAGUAUCAUGUGCAAUUACAAAGCAAAGUAUCUAGAUUAUCUACUUCCCUUAGAUAUUCGGAAGCUGCAACAAAUACUGCCGGGCAUUUAGCUUUGUAAACCAUACCGAAGGUCGUACCAACUGGUGACCGGUUUGGUACAACAUGGACUCGUACCAUGCCAUCUUGGAGUGUAUUGAAAACAGGAGGGAGGGAGAGAGGGAGAAAAUGAGAGAGGAAGAGAGAGAGGGAGGGAAGGAGGGGAGGGAAGGAGGGAGGAAGGAGGNNNNNNNNNNNNNNNNNNNNNNNNNNNNNNNNNNNNNNNNNNNNNNNNNNNNNNNNNNNNNNNNNNNNNNNNNNNNNNNNNNNNNNNNNNNNNNNNNNNNNNNNNNNNNNNNNNNNNNNNNNNNNNNNNNNNNNNNNNNNNNNNNNNNNNNNNNNNNNNNNNNNNNNNNNNNNNNNNNNNNNNNNNNNNNNNNNNNNNNNNNNNNNNNNNNNNNNNNNNNNNNNNNNNNNNNNNNNNNNNNNNNNNNNNNNNNNNNNNNNNNNNNNNNNNNNNNNNNNNNNNNNNNNNNNNNNNNNNNNNNNNNNNNNNNNNNNNNNNNNNNNNNNNNNNNNNNNNNNNNNNNNNNNNNNNNNNNNNNNNNNNNNNNNNNNNNNNNNNNNNNNNNNNNNNNNNNNNNNNNNNNNNNNNNNNNNNNNNNNNNNNNNNNNNNNNNNNNNNNNNNNNNNNNNNNNNNNNNNNNNNNNNNNNNNNNNNNNNNNNNNNNNNNNNNNNNNNNNNNNNNNNNNNNNNNNNNNNNNNNNNNNNNNNNNNNNNNNNNNNNNNNNNNNNNNNNNNNNNNNNNNNNNNNNNNNNNNNNNNNNNNNNNNNNNNNNNNNNNNNNNNNNNNNNNNNNNNNNNNNNNNNNNNNNNNNNNNNNNNNNNNNNNNNNNNNNNNNNNNNNNNNNNNNNNNNNNNNNNNNNNNNNNNNNNNNNNNNNNNNNNNNNNNNNNNNNNNNNNNNNNNNNNNNNNNNNNNNNNNNNNNNNNNNNNNNNNNNNNNNNNNNNNNNNNNNNNNNNNNNNNNNNNNNNNNNNNNNNNNNNNNNNNNNNNNNNNNNNNNNNNNNNNNNNNNNNNNNNNNNNNNNNNNNNNNNNNNNNNNNNNNNNNNNNNNNNNNNNNNNNNNNNNNNNNNNNNNNNNNNNNNNNNNNNNNNNNNNNNNNNNNNNNNNNNNNNNNNNNNNNNNNNNNNNNNNNNNNNNNNNNNNNNNNNNNNNNNNNNNNNNNNNNNNNNNNNNNNNNNNNNAGAUAUAAAACUAUAAACUCAUGCAUCGACACAAAUAAAAGUUAACAAUUAAUAUAAAGAUAAAUGUUAACGGUUAAAAUAUAACAACUAUAAGUAUGGAAAGAAAUAAAGAAGUAAUAUAUCUACCUUAAUUAUUAGACAUUCGUUUAAGCCAAAGGAAAUUAAUCAGUGACCCAUAAGCAAUUUCUAACUUCUUAAAGAAAGUUGAGAAGGCAACUAGCCAGAGCAUUGCCUGUAGGUUUCAACUACAAAGAAUAGCAAAAGUUUUGUAAUACAGCUACAGAGAAUAAAGAAAUAAAUUGGUGGCAGAUUCAAAAUCCAAAAAUGUUCUGCUAGUCUUAAAUCAUUGAUGUUCUAACAAUUUAGCUCAAAUAAGGAUGCGUUAAUCAGAAAUCCAGAUGGCCAAAUCCUUAAAUGGUAGAUGUUUCAAAACUCUUUUCCAAAGGUUCUCUUUCAAAUCUUAACUUAUCAAGAUUUGACCAUCAGGGAUUUUCAAGUCUCCAGCUUUUUUGGGGGGUUUGGCCUGGUCUGUUAGAGAAAGGAAAGGAAUAAUGCCUAUUUUUCAAUGCAAACAUAAAUUAAGAAAGAUCACACCAUUUGGAAAUAGAACCUGUGAUCAAGAGAAUGAAUUUUGAUAUACCAUUUCUUCCGUCAUUAAUUUAUUUAAUUUAUUUUUACUCCGCCUUUUCCAAGCCAGUAGUAAGCCAUCAUCUCUGUGCUCACAAUCAAAGAAGGCAACCAAACCCCUUAGGCCCUUACCAUCUCCAAAGGCUUCUCAAAGCAUGGGGGCUGCAGUAGUCCACCUCCCUUCACUACCCAUUCCUCAACGCUUAUCGCAAUAAGCUCUCCCUCGAUCCUUAGUACAACUUAGAAUAAGCUAAGAACCACCCCAUUCCCCCGCUCUCCUACCUACACUACGUUCUCCAUUUCCUUAAGCAAACAGGCACCCCAAGUUACUAUUCUUGGAUUUGAAUAACCCCCCAAAAAGAGGAUCUUUCCUACUCUAAACAAAAGGAAGGGGGAAAACGACAAACCCUAAUCAGAAAAGCAACGAUCCUUUCUCAAAAUAACGCUCAAGACAACUAAAGGAACCAUGCCGAUUAAGUUAUUGGACAAAUAAAAACAGGAAAAUGGAAGAAAAAAAAUGGAAUUUUGAAUACCUCUAUCAACCGAAGCCUAAGCCGAAGGCGAAGCAGAACCAUCCCGCAGAGCUCUCGAGUAAAUGAGCAUCUGGAUUCAAUUAGAAUCCAAAUACAAUGCUAGAUAUUGCGGGAAAAAAAUCUCAGAUUUUUUCGGGAAUUGAGAGCGAAGAAGACAGCAGGAAGAAGGACUGAAGAGGCGACAAGAAGGAGAACAGUGGUUGGGAUUCUAACGGGCCAGAAGACCUCUUGUCGUGUGGCGGCUUGAGAGAGCCUCUCUCGCCCCUCCUCUUGUGAAUUAAAGAGAAAGAAAAGCCUCCGGAUCCUGCUUGCUUUUUUAGCCGUUGGGCUGUCCCCUACCAAGAGGACGAAGCUUGUGUAUACUGUUGCAAGUGCUGCUACUCUUUUAGAGAAAGCUCUCUCCUUUUCUCCGCCCUCCCUCGCCACCCCCUUCUCUCUCUCUCUCUCUCUCUCUCUCUCUCAGAAGCUCCCUCCUGGGCUUCCUCUCUCCGUGCACGUUGGAUCCAGCGUAAAUCUUAGAUUUCUUUUUCCUACUGUGGAUUUUAUUUAUUAACUAUGGCAUCCAUUGAUACUAUUUUACAUUAUCUUCUUUCCUACUAUUUGUUUUAAGAGAAUUUUAUUUUAUUGCUUAACAUAAGGGGCAAUGGUUACUUACAGAGGGCAAAAUUCCUCUGGAUACUGUUGUAUUCAUUAUCUUGGAAGGGCCUUUGAUACCAAAAUUUGGAUGAGAAACAAGAGCCUAAUGUUGGCCUAUUAUGAUUGUUUCAAGGCCCUUGUUAUGCUAUAUGUACAAGUAAUAUAUAUUCAAAAAGAUUUUUAGCUGUAUUUUGCUGGAGUAGAUGCUUAGUUAAGAAAGGAGCUACUCAUUUGAGAUCAUUCCUGGUUGGAUUUUUUCAAAAAUUCCAGCGUCCAUACUAGUUAAAUAAUGUCAUUACCUUAUUUGUUUAUAAUUUUUAAUUAUAAUGGCUAAAGUUGAUUUGUAAAAGCUAUCACUUCAUUCUCAUAAAAUUCUUUCUAGAGCUAAAAUAGGCAAAUAGCAUGCAAUUGUCUAUAUUNNNNNNNNNNNNNNNNNNNNNNNNNNNNNNNNNNNNNNNNNNNNNNNNNNNNNNNNNNNNNNNNNNNNNNNNNNNNNNNNNNNNNNNNNNNNNNNNNNNNNNNNNNNNNNNNNNNNNNNNNNNNNNNNNNNNNNNNNNNNNNNNNNNNNNNNNNNNNNNNNNNNNNNNNNNNNNNNNNNNNNNNNNNNNNNNNNNNNNNNNNNNNNNNNNNNNNNNNNNNNNNNNNNNNNNNNNNNNNNNNNNNNNNNNNNNNNNNNNNNNNNNNNNNNNNNNNNNNNNNNNNNNNNNNNNNNNNNNNNNNNNNNNNNNNNNNNNNNNNNNNNNNNNNNNNNNNNNNNNNNNNNNNNNNNNNNNNNNNNNNNNNNNNNNNNNNNNNNNNNNNNNNNNNNNNNNNNNNNNNNNNNNNNNNNNNNNNNNNNNNNNNNNNNNNNNNNNNNNNNNNNNNNNNNNNNNNNNNNNNNNNNNNNNNNNNNNNNNNNNNNNNNNNNNNNNNNNNNNNNNNNNNNNNNNNNNNNNNNNNNNNNNNNNNNNNNNNNNNNNNNNNNNNNNNNNNNNNNNNNNNNNNNNNNNNNNNNNNNNNNNNNNNNNNNNNNNNNNNNNNNNNNNNNNNNNNNNNNNNNNNNNNNNNNNNNNNNNNNNNNNNNNNNNNNNNNNNNNNNNNNNNNNNNNNNNNNNNNNNNNNNNNNNNNNNNNNNNNNNNNNNNNNNNNNNNNNNNNNNNNNNNNNNNNNNNNNNNNNNNNNNNNNNNNNNNNNNNNNNNNNNNNNNNNNNNNNNNNNNNNNNNNNNNNNNNNNNNNNNNNNNNNNNNNNNNNNNNNNNNNNNNNNNNNNNNNNNNNNNNNNNNNNNNNNNNNNNNNNNNNNNNNNNNNNNNNNNNNNNNNNNNNNNNNNNNNNNNNNNNNNNNNNNNNNNNNNNNNNNNNNNNNNNNNNNNNNNNNNNNNNNNNNNNNNNNNNNNNNNNNNNNNNNNNNNNNNNNNNNNNNNNNGAAAUGCAAAGGUCAAUGUGGUAAUUCUACUUCUUGUUUUAUACAGCUCUCUUCACUUCUCAAUCAUCUUUGUUUAGUUCAAUUUCAAUUAGCCUUCACUAGGCACCAUAGGAUAGCUAAACCAAGUAUUAUCCAAAGAGUUCAUUAUCCAACGAAUUCGGAUCCUCUACGAUACAACUUUUGUACCAUAAAGUAUUGUACCAUUGUGGAUAGCUGCCAGAUUAUUCAUUACGGAGAUGGAUAGUUCUCAUUCCUCCCAGAAAUAUGAUUGGAUACUUUCAGCUCGACACUCAAGGAUGCAAAACUUGAAACACCCUCAGGAGACUAUAUCUCUAGUUUCCUUCUUGUUAUAUUAUCGUAACAACUGGAGAUUCAAUGUUAUUGCUAGUUAAUGAUAGAUUUGAUAUUUAGUUAUUUGGUAGCAACUAGCAACUAUAAGGCAACAAAAAUGGGCUGUUGGCUGGAUAUAGUGGCGGUCAAUAAUUCUAAUCCCUUCAUUUCAACUUUCCCAGAUAGGCAAGGCCAGGCAAAAUUUUGCGACACUCGAGUGAAAGCCCUUAUCCCACCUUCCAACCCGACAAAGCUAGAAAUUGAUUCUAACUGCCAAGAGACAUAUCACUAGGCUAGCUGGCACCCACAAGGUGUGUGCUUCAAGUUGGUAUAUGUGGGUCCAAGCCAGCUAGAUAAGUGCCCCGCUUGAGCUAUGUCCGUCCACUUAAUGGACCCAUCCCACUAAAGUUUCCAUGCACAGAAAUUCGAUGUACCUUCUUCUUUCUUAAGUUCCAUCAGCACACCUUCGGAGGUGAAACUUUUUCUGGUAUUCCAACAUCUCGAGCUGACGCAGAGCCCAAAAAAUUUGGGUUUGCUAGGUUACAAAUCAAGCCAUUUGGGACCAGGUACUAGAAAUGUCCCUGCGAUCCGGUCCAACGAUUAGAUCCACAAAGGAAUACAAGGGGUGUGACCUCUAAGAAGGUAAGAACAUUAAAAUUAGGUGAAUAUUAUAACGUUAGUGUUUGGAUGAUUCUUUCGACUAGGGGCCUAGUGUCAUAGUCCUCAUAUUGGCUAAUAAAAAAAUAUCAUAUAGUUUUAUUGGUCUAGCUGGUCUUCCUCCGAACAGCUUAAGCUUUUAAAUUGAAAGUCCAUGAUAAAUGGCAUCAGAGCCAAAUCCAUCAUACGUCCCAAUCUUUAUUAAUCAUAUAGGUAUCUUGCUAGAGAAUAUUAGGAUCGAGAAGGACUUAGUAGGGUCAACUAGGACUCAGCCCAUGAGCGGGCCUUUUCUCUUUCGAGUCUGAGCUAAUCAUAAUGAGAGUGUCAUAAAGUUGAGUGGGAAAGAUUAUCAUAGUCCUACACCGAUUAAUAAAAGAGAUGUCAGCCUAAUCCGUUUUUCCUUCCAAUAACUUAAGCUUUUGGGCUGCAAGUUCUUUAAUACUAAGCUUCGGCCUAGUUGGUUUAGGUCAAGUAUAAGCUCUCAUCCACCUGAGAGGGUACAUAGCCCAGAGGUUGGCGGAAGAACAAGCUAUUGAAGAUCUUUUCUCUUCUAUCAUGGGAUACCAUAACUGUGUUGAACACCUAAUCUCUUAUAUAUACCCAAGAGGGUGCCGCCAUUAUUCUAAAGCUCGGUUGGCUCUGGCCAGAGAAUAUGCUUGAUCAUAAAACGAAGGGAGUUUUUUCGCUUUUCCCUGCUUUCCUUUAACACUAAAUGCCAGAGUAGGGCUCAAAAAAAAUGGGCGAAGAGCAAAACAAAGGAGGGUACACUGCUGCCACAAACAAAAUUGUCGCUGUAGCCUGCUGGAAAAUUUGGCAGCAAUUGAACCUUUUGGGGAGGCGGCUGUGAAAAAUGGUGUGACAAAGAGCCUUUUUGACAGCAAUAAUGCUGAAAAUAUCGAUCAAAUAUUAAUAUAUCUAUAUUUCUAUUUAUUUUAUUUGAUGAGUAUAGAUAAAAAUAUUAGACAAAUAUAAAAAUUUAUAUUUAUAAUUAUUUUAAAUAUAUAUAGAUACAAAUUGAAUACCAAAUAUAUAUAUAUAUAUAUAUAUGGAUAUAAUUCAAAUAAUUAAACUUUAUAACCAUAUAAUCAAAAAUAUUACUAAGUUGGAUGAUAAAUCAAGUUAAUAGCAUAUUAAGAUGAUCAUUUUUUUUUAAGAAAAAUUAUGACUGUUAUAUAAAAUAAAAUAGGAUUAUAAAUAGAAUUUGAUAUUUGGAUGUGAAUCGGAUAGUUGUUUAUCUAUAUACAUAUCUUUUUUUUUACGUAUAUGAUAGAAAUACGGAUAUUAAUCUAAUGCUCGAAUUUCUGUCUAUAUUCAGAUAUGAAAAUUGAAUAGUUAUUUUCGGAUUCACUUUCACCUCUAAACUAUGGCUAUCUUUACCGCAGUAAAUCCUCAAAAAAUCAUUGCUAAAUUACUCCUGCUGUUACUAAUGAGAAAAAUAUACAUGAUCCGCCUUCAGAUUAUCGAGUUGCCAAAGAAAUUGAAACGAGGGACAAUAUUUUGAAACAAUCCAUGUUUUACAUCAUGAAAGCCGAUAAACAUGAGAACAUGGUUUUAAAAAAGUAUAUACUAUACAUAAAGGAUUACAUGAGAUUUGAGCUGAAAGUUUUUUAAGUUCUCAGCUGGUUCGGCUGCGCACUUCAACGACAAACUCUGGUGAUGUCACAGGCUAAGUAGCAGCUUGGAUCCAGCCCAGGUAAGACCAAGUUGGAGUCUUGAACCGGUUUGUGAUCUCAGUUAGAUCCAUGUUAGACCUAGUUUCUGGACAUGCCAGGUGGCUGGGGUCUAAUUUUGGGAUUCCAGAUUGAAGAUUUUAAUUAGUUUUUGUUGGCUUGAGUGGUUCUUGGUUUACCAAUUGAUGGACUCUGCUACCCAACCCAUCCUAGGGGUUGUUUGGUUUCCUGCUAUUGGCAGGCUAUAAUUUCAGUUGGCAGCAACUCCAAGACUUGCAAUUAGAACUGCAACUUUAUCAGGCUAACUUAAGUUGAGCUAAGGAUGAGAAAUUUACCCUAAUUUCAUAUUUAUUUAGGUUUUCUUAGAUGUGAGAACAUCCCAACCCUAAUCCGAAUUCAUAUGAGAAGCCUACAAAGCCAAGCCAUACUGAAUAUAAUAAUCUCUAUAGCCAACUAAACCCAAAACUAGCAACAACUUAAGCCCAGACAUCCUGAACAUAAUAAGCUCUUAUCCAACUUAAGGAGAACCAAACAAUUUACUGUCUAACUGAUGGGUUCAUCUUUUGGUAAUUGGCUUAAUUCUCUGCUUGAUUCUAGUUAGGUUAGUUAUUUUGCUGCCCAAAUUAAGCUUAGAUUGAAGUUUUUCUUUUUCCCCCCUUAGAAAAGCUUGGAUUGGAGAACUUGUAUGAUGCUGAAAGCUUGGAUUCCACCUUAUACUUAGCAAGCCCAGCUCUUGUUCUCGAGGUUAAGGCAUACAAUCUCAUGUCAGACUGAUCCAUACAAAAAAAAAGUAAGGAGGGUCAAAUACCACAAUAAAUUGGAAACUGGUUGCUGACUUAAGCUCCGUUCGAUAGAACUGUUUGCAGUAGAACUUUUAUAAAAAAAUAUUUGUUGUUUUUUAACUACAUUUCUAAAAUGCUAUGAAACUUUAAUAUAUGUUUAGCUAACAAAAUAAGAAAAUAUUUUUGGUAUGACAAAAUAACUGUAAAGGAUAUUGCAUAGUAUUAUACAGCAAAGUAUAAUAAAACAUAAUAUAUAUUAAUACAUAAAUAUAUGAUAUAGUAUAAUAUUAUUAUAACAUACUAUAAUAUUAUUAUAAUAUUGUAUAUUAUAUCAUAAUAAUAUAACAUUAUUUGAUAUUAUAUAACAUAACAUAUUAGUGUAUUAUGAUAUAAUGUAAUAUAAUAUUAUAUUUAUAGUAUAAUAUAAUAAUAAUAAUAAUAUAAAAUAUUAUAAUUAUUAUCAUUAUAUAUUAAUAAAUAUAAAGGGACAUUUCUUAUAAUUAUAAUAUUUUAUUAUGGUAUUUUGGUCCAAAAAAAAUUAUAAAUCGAAAUAGCUUUCCAAUUCAUGCUAGAAGUACUUUUUUGAAGAGGUUUUAUUUUUGAAGUUUCUCCUAAUAAGCUGUUUUAGCUUUAUCAAAAAGCUAAAAUAACUUUCCAAUUUUUUUUAUUAAACAUCUCUAUUCCAUCCAAAAGUAUUUCCAAAAAUACUUUUGAAUGGUCAGAAAGUGCUUUUUGGCCUACCAAAAGCUCUGCCAAAUGGAGCCUUAGACCAACACUCAAAAGGUCAACUUGAGUACAGCACCAUGUACACACCAUGCCCAAUUUUUUUUCCCCAGAAAAAUUCUUUCUAAUUACCACCGGCAUUCUUCAAGCCCGGCAAGCCAGAUAUACGCUGAGGUGGAAACUAUGUAGUUUUAUAGCCGACGAGAUUGGACGAGAGGUCAAGCAUCUAUUGUUGACAGUUGACUUGUUCUUAUUGUCAAAAAAGCCUAUUGUCUUAUUGUUUGACAAAGAAACCGUGUCACUGUUGACUCAGACACUGAUGGAUUUUUUGUUAAGUCAUGAAAAUAAUCAGUCAUAUAGUCAAAGUGGACUAAUCUUUCUGGCCGUGUGAGUGCUAGUUGCACUAAUCAAAGCUAGUGGGCUAGAGCCUUCCAAGUUAAGACUUCAUGUCUUCUAACCAAAUAAGAAAAAACACCAAAUCCAAGUCAUGAUUGUGUCCAUAGCACCAGCCGCUGGAAAUGCUUUUGCAAUGGGAGGGAAUAAGGAUAUUAGUUUUAAUUUCCAUUGUCAUAUACAAGGCUGCCAUACUAAGCUAUAGAGGAGAAGAAACUACCAUCAUUCAUCAAUGCAAGGCCAAAUAUAUUAUAAAAAAAAGCUUGCACUAGAUUUAAUCCCUGUGUGAUUGGAAUUAGAGAUGUAUGCUAGGAUGAUGAUGUUUAUGGCUCUGUCAGAUUGAUGUGCUAAAAUUGAAUCAUGCUCAACCGAUAUUUUGAUAAUUCAUUGAUAUUAUCUGAACUUUGCUUAGCGGCAGAGGUCGAUGAAAUCAUUAGGCAGGGAUAUAUCACAAAAAUUAAAGGGGGUGUUACUGAUAACGCUGAUGAUCUUGUCCAUCUUUUUUUUUAUUCUAUGUUCCCUUCUAGAUCUCAUAGGGUCACAGUUGAUCAUGUUGCAGAAGACUCGUAUACACAAGUAGGAAAUGGUUAGGCUCAGAUCCACUAAACCAAAAUGAGUUGCUUGCCUUAUGGUGCUGAAACGGAAUCCAUGGCAUGGCGACGCACCGAAAGGAGCCCGACACAUGUGAAAUAGAUUUGAUGUUAGGCAUGAAUUGAUCAAAUCUUGUGAUAUGAUAAAUGUAGGUCAGCUGUCACUUAAUCUUGACUUAAAUGAACCUUUAUACCAUCUUACUCCUCUCAAAGUUCAUGAGAUACUUAGAAGCGUGCAUUGAAUGUUGGAUCACCACACACAUGAAUGGAACAUGAGCUCUGAAGGAUUGUGGAAUGGGCAUGUAUUUAUUAAGCUGACACAAUUUAUUUCUAAGAUGAUUUAUGGUACCUAAAAAUCAAAGAACACAAAGAUUAGUGGCUUGUUUAGCUUCUUCCUUCCUCUUUUUAUUUCACUUUGAGUUGUAUUGUAGAGGGUAUGAAUAUAGGUCAGUGCUAAUAUUACUACUAAUAACCGUCUUAAGCAACCAUCAAAGAAUAUGGCUCGUGUGCCAAAAUUUUUGCUUAUGGAGUGCUUUUCACAAAUGUACAUGGACCUUCACCCCCUAAUCACUAGUUGUGAGAGUUCUUUACAAUUUUAGCUUUUCUUUAUAAUCCUAUGUUUUGAAAUGAUUGGAAAUUUUGAUUCCAAACCCGUGACUCCAUCAGCUUCUUCUACCCUCCUUGGGGUUGUUUGCAUGCUUGGGUUUCAGUUCCUAUCUUUCGUAGGGCGAGAAGAGGUAAAGAGGUGGUGCUAGAAAAAUGAAUUGACAGAACAGAAAGGCACCUCUUAUUUUAUAAUCCGACAUCUAUCCAUCCAUUUAUCUAUCUAGCCAAAUCCAAAUACAUUAAAAAUCAACAAUUUUGAUUGAAGCAAUCUCUCUCAACCCUCUUAUACGUGGACACCAUCUUUUUUUUCAAAUGCUUAUUAAGCGCACUUAAGUCCACUCACUUAGUGCUCUCAAUUCUCUUCUGUAAUUUGAAGUUAUUCAGAUAGAUAAGAAAAGUUGUUAUAAUCAAUGAAAAAUAUGAUCUAUUUUUUUAUUUAUAGAUGUGAAAGGAUAAAUAUGAUUAACUGCUUCAGCAUUAUGUCAUUGAAUGCAUUUCUUAACAUAAUCCAUCCAUUCAUAAAAAAUUAUGUCACCGGAAUAUCUUUCAUCUACGUAAAUUUCUCGAAAAAUCUGUUUGCGCAUCUCUAUGCUCUUUUUUAAGAUACUGCAGUUGUGUUAGUAGAAUUUACAUAAAAUUUUAAGAUAGAACAGGAGAUAGAGAUAAAAAAAAAAUAGGAAAGUAAAUUAUUUAGAGAUUUGAGAUAAAUUUUUAUAUUUAAUCAGAUUUAUAUUUUGAUAAAUAUCUAAUAUAAAAUUUUAAAAUCUCCUGAGGCAUCCAAACGCACAGUGGAUUCAUCUCCCAUUCUCCCUUUCUCCAUUCCCCUUUUCCUUGAGAGCGCGUGAUCGAUUUCGGUUUGCAUGGAGAAAAUCUAAGGGGCAGUUCGGGCAUUAAAUGGCUCGUUUUGUGUCGGUGAGUAGCACCGGCAGCCAUCAAGGUUGUGAAGCUUGCAGGUCCACCCCUCGAAUAACGACACCAUGGCCCCCACAUAACUUGAUCAACAUGACCCCUGUUUCUAGCCUGGAAGAANNNNNNNNNNNNNNNNNNNNNNNNNNNNNNNNNNNNNNNNNNNNNNNNNNNNNNNNNNNNNNNNNNNNNNNNNNNNNNNNNNNNNNNNNNNNNNNNNNNNNNNNNNNNNNNNNNNNNNNNNNNNNNNNNNNNNNNNNNNNNNNNNNNNNNNNNNNNNNNNNNNNNNNNNNNNNNNNNNNNNNNNNNNNNNNNNNNNNNNNNNNNNNNNNNNNNNNNNNNNNNNNNNNNNNNNNNNNNNNNNNNNNNNNNNNNNNNNNNNNNNNNNNNNNNNNNNNNNNNNNNNNNNNNNNNNNNNNNNNNNNNNNAUUAGAGAACCAUGGUUUAUUAUUUGCUUCAUCAAUUGAUGUAGUCCACCUAACUAAUUUUGCUAGAAAGGGCCUUGCCAAGGUUGACAAUUGUAUUCUUUCUUCCUCGUAGUUUGCCGAUGGUCUGCUCCAGAUAUAUCGAGGAGAUAGUUUCGUCAAAUAACACGCCGGGAAAACGGAUGAAUAGGCGGAUAUGUUGAAAUUUUGACCAAAUUGGGAUCAACAAUGGCUUCUCAUUUUUGGGUGUUUGGGCAUAUCAGAGAAAGCACGAACGAUCAUGAUAUUUUGUUUCAUUAAUCUUUUUAGUAUUUAUCCAUUGCGAUAAACAUUGCUUUCAAAUUGUGUGCUAACUAUACUUAUUUACAUAUUCUAUGAAAGUUUGCAAGCGAACCAAGAAAGAUAUUGAUAUCUCGAACCACUUCAUUUCUCUACUUGGAGCACAAGGAGUGGGGGACUAUGUAGUUUGUAUUAACGUUCACAUAGAGUUGGUGCCUAGAGUCUAGAAUGAAGUGGCAUGGUGAAGAUUUUCUAAUCAAGAAUGUUGUACUUAUAAAUGGCAAGAGGUAUUGAGAUGGUGAUAAAUAAUGUGGAUGAUAAAAUGAAUGCAAAAUCAUUAUUAGAGAAAAAGCUUGACGCUUGAUUUGGCUAAUAACCAAUUUAAUACCUGAUCAUAUUUUCAUGGUGCAAUCUUCUUGCAUACGGCUUUUUUUUUGGCUGUAUAUAACAAUAUGGAACUUAUGGCAAUUUUAUAGUCUAGGUGUUUGCAAUUUAAUUGUUGGUGCAUGAGACCAGUUCGAGAUUUUUUUUUUUUUCGCAGGAGGAGAAAACCCUAAUCUAUCUACCAGAUAUAAAGUAAUUCUUAGGAUUGGCCAUGUAAAAUCAGACUGCAACAGUGAAGCUUCAUGAGAUUCCCUUAUAAUCCACUCCACCGUUGUUUUAUUUCCCUCCUCCACGCAAGUUUUAUGGAAAUCAAAAUCCAUCCUUUAUUUUUUCUAUACUAAUCAUGUGCAUGUCAUAUUUAAAAUACUGGCAUAAUUAAUAGAAAACACUCUCAGAAAAUUAGCUCAAAAUGUAAGGCCUAGCAUGUACUAUCGAUCCAUUUCUCACUAGUUUAAAUUGUUAGGUUUAAUAGAAGGAUCUGGUUCACCAAUGUCUAUUUCAUGUAAUCAUUUCGUUCCAACAACAAAAAAAAUCAUUUCAUCAAUUCCCUAAGGUCCUUUUUGUAAAAAAAGCCCUUCAAUGAUUAGCUUUGCCAAUGCCAAUAACAAAAAAUUGUAUAAUUCUUGGAAUCUAUCAAUGCAUGACAUCAGACACAACCAAACAUUGCCAAAAAAUAGUUUUGUUUUAUUGAUCCCCUUACCCUAUUUUUGCUCCCAUUACAAUUUCACAACACUAUGUUCCUCCUCCCUUGCCCUCACAUUAAGAAAUAAGAAUUCUUCCCAAAAUGUCUCCCACCUUGUAAAAUUUGCUUAUUCCCAAAUACCCCUAUCAUUUUUACCAGAUGAGAUAACCCAACUCACUACCCAAAACUAUAAAAACCGGGAUCUCCCAAAGCCACUAUACUGCCGACAUCACGAUCAUUUCCAAAAUACCCCUACUUUAUUCCCAAUCUGCCUUCAUAACACUGAUCAGCUUCACUCCAUACAUCAUUUAAGUUUUAAACUAAAUUAAAAAAUUCAAACAGCAGAAAAAAUAAAAGUUUCCCAACCCUGCCCCCACCAGCGAGAUUCUCCCACCGGCUAAAAGUCUACAAUAUAAUAGAAACAUUAUUCCUCUUCCCAUUAUGCCCUCUCCUCGUUCCCAAAAUGCCCCAAUAUAUAUAUUUUUUAUUUUUUUAGCUUUUUUUCCCGUCUUCUCCCCCGUCGUUGAGGUAGGUCUUCUUCCGGCGCUCUGCCCGCGCGCACGCGCAGAUCACGAGGAAGCACGCGGCGUAGACCGCGUGGACCCGCCAGUUGGCCCGCGGGGGAUCUCCAGUCACCGCCCGGUGGAACACCGCCGCGUAGUAGUGCAUCCCCACCGCCAGCCCGACCAGCAUCUGCGCCAGCCCAAACACCCUCGCCCCGGCACCCGCCCCCUCACCGGCGGAGAACACCACCACUAAAUUGAUCAGCUGCACCACCAAGUAUAGCAAAUACCCGAACGUCUGCGCCGCCUGCGUCCACGCGUACGACGACGGCGACGUCGCGUAGAAAAAUCUCAGCGGCUCGAGUCCGGUCACGAGGGCGGUGACCGCGAGCGUCGCGAAGUAGAUGGCGAGGUAGGCCUGGAUGAAGACGAGGAGCCGGUGGAGGGAGAGGUAAGAGCGGAGGCGGCGGAAGAGCGCGGUGACGAGAAGCAGGGGCAGAACGAGAAAUAGAACGGAGGCGAUGGAGGCUAUUUUGGGAGCGAAACUUUUUCCCACAAAGGGCUUGACGCCCUCGGCGAUCUCGCGGUUGGCGCGGGAGAGGUAGGCCUUCGAGGUGGUGGAGAGGCGCUGGAGGUCGGGGAAGAGGGAUUGUUGGAGGCGGGUCGGGAGGUCGCGGAACUCGGCGAUGAGGUCGUCGCCCUCGUCGCCGGCGAGCCAGGGUUCUGGUUUGGCGGUGGCGGACUUCGGCUUCGGCUUUGGUUUGGAAUUCUUCUCGCCGGCGGUGGCCGGUUUGGAGGUGGCGGUCUUGUUCCUGGGAACGGGUGGAUCUAGGAUUUUCUUGGAAGAUUUGGUGGAAUUGGAGGAUAAUUUGAGCGAUUUGAGCUCGGAUUUGGCGGAAUUGGUAGAGUUGGAUUUGGUCAGUUUGGUGGGUUUGACGAGCUUGGUGGAAUUGGAGGUUUUGGGGGUGGAGGUGAGAGUUUUAUUGAGCUUGGAUUUCGGGGUGGCGGCGGUGGAAAUGGUGGUGGUGGAGUUGGUUUUCUUGGGUUUGAUGAGUUUGGUUUGGUUUUUGGUCCCCAAGAUAGGUUUUUUCUUGGAAAGGAGGGGUUUUGAGGCCGGUUCCUCCUCACCCUCCAUGGAGAUGAACUUUCUUCUGCUCAGAAGCUGCGAUUUUUGGAGUUGGGAAGCAGGGGCCGAGAAAGAAAUGGAGAAACUGAGGUGGAGGAAGAGGAGAAAGAGUAGAAGGAUAGUGGGAGAGAGCAGAGAAGCCAUUGGCAGAUCUAAAGUUUGGAUUUCGGUAAAUUAGACUAGCUAAAGUUUGGAUUUUUAAGAAGCAGGGAAGGGGGGGAGGGAUUGGGAGCAGAGUGGAAGAGAGAGGUAUUUAAUGGGAAUGGAACCGCCACAAAUUGUUGACAGGAGAGGAAGGGAGAGAAAGGUCGCAAGGUCACAUGGAGGCAAUGUGGAGACAAAGGGGGAGGGUCAGGGGAGUCAAGCCGGUAGGAGUGUAAGCAUAGUAGAUCCAUUAUUGUUAUAGGCAGAAUAAUAGUACAAAAAGUUUCCAACCUUUGUUGUAACAGAGUUUGAUAAAUGGUUCCAUCUUUUCUAGUAGAUGCAUUCCCACCUAUUUUAUUUAUCUCUCUCACCUACUGAGUAAUGCUUUUAUGAAUCACUUGACUUGGUUUUGCAAGUGUUGGCCAGUGCUCCUUUCUUUAUGAAUCACCUAAGUUAGUUUUGCAAGUGUUGGCCAGUGCUCCUUUCUUUAUAAUCUUUCUUGGUAGAUGGAUGAGCUUUUAUUGGUGUGGCUUCCUGUGCUACCUGGUUGCUAUGCAAUCGCGUGAAACAUGGGAUGGAUUUUCUUUGAACUUGUCUUGCAGGAGUUAAUGUUUGAAAGUGAGUAAAAAGACCUUUUUAUUCAUUGGUUUCUGAUGCUUAGAUAAGUCGAUAUUAAUGCUUUGGUCCAAAGCUUCUUAGUUUCACAUUUUGCAUUUGGGAGUUGGUCUUGGUAAAAUCCUCAAAUAAGGUGAAAUUUUUUUUGCUUCUCCUUCUAUGCUUGCUCUGCCUUUAAGAAUUACAGCAUGACUCCUGAACACAUGGAACCAUCAAAGACCAGCAAUCCUUGUGGUUUUCAUCCUAGCUACCUUUUCUGGUCCCACAGUGGGAAGGAUUACUUUUACCUUUCUUUUUAAUUUGAAGGUUGAAAAAUAGACCUAUCACCUAUGUACUUUGUAAUUUAGACUUGAUGGUGGAAAGUUAUAUUAAUAUGCUUACUGUACUAGGUGACUAUUGAAGGUUGGGUCCUUUGUUUUAGGGCAGGCAGCUCUAAUCUUAUUUUACUAUCAUGACAUAUAAUGGUAGAUCUAUGACCGUUUCUUCUUUUGUUAUUAAAAAAAAAAAACCCUACAGUUCUGGCGGUAUAUUUAGGUCUUGAUAUCUGUUCUUAUUGACACCAUUUACACUAUUAAAAUGUUCACUAUAUAAUGUUGCAAUGUAACUCUUGCAGUAUGGUAAUAUAGCGACAAUACAUUGCCUAUUUAAGAACCUAAGUUUUGAAUCCUGGCUAUGUCAUGCCACUGUUAAUCUUCUUGUGUUUGCAAGUGUUGAAGGUAGAGUUCUUGCUUUCCAUGUAUUUUUCGGCUAAAAAUGAAACCAACAUGCAUGAUACAUGUGACAUAAGCUAUUUGCCUUGCAUACAGUCGAUGGUAACAGCAUGAUGCUGCUAGCUUGAUUGCAUCUAGCCUUCUCCUUUGCUACUAAGAUACCUUUCUUUAUCUAGUCUUUUUUCAGUGAUUAACUUCUUUUCCUUUCGCGCAGAUAUUAGAGGCAACAAUCUGCACUUCUGGUGGAAGCAUGAUAGACAAGUAGGUAAAAAAUGGGAAAAAAAAUGGACUUCAUGUAUCUUGAGAGUAGUUGACCCUGUAAUUUGUUCUUAUACAUUCUUGUUGAAAACCAAGGAUUUCUCUACAGACAAUGCAGAGGCCUCUAGUCUUAUUAGACAAAUUUGGUUAAUGUCCACAAUCUUGAUUUCACUUGCUUGGUUUUCUCCUUGAGCUGGAAAUCCCUGAAAACUCCCCUGAAGUCUUCUUUUGGAGGAGUAAAAAUUCUAUCUUUAACCACAACAAUUCCUUUGACGGUUUUUAACUUUGUUUCAACCAACAGAGGACUGAUCCUUGAAUGAUCAGAGUCUGUAAUGGAUGUAAUAGAUUUAUGUGUUGACUGUUGUCAAGGCCACUAAAGACUGAUUUUAGGUAUGAGCCCGUGAACCUUUAUAGGUACUGUACGGUUAAAAGGUUAUUGACCAUUUUUAAGGACAAACAUUGAGAAAAAUUUUAAGUUGUGCAGGAAAAGAAAAUGUUAGUAUCAGGAAAAAAAAGUCCAGCAGCUGAGAAGCAGAUAGCAAUAAUUUUGUUACCCAAAAAGUGGAGGUGGCAAAGAGAACUUUUAUUAACUUGUCAAAAGAAGGCCAUGAGGACCACUUCUUAUGAAGCCUUGUGACAUACUAGUGGUUACUGUCCUCCAGUUGCGCCUUCCAGAAGAUCUUUAUCAAAGAAAUUCUGUUUUUGAGAAAAUGCUAUUUAGUUUUCAAUUAGAGUUAUAUUAUAGUUAAGAAUGGUGAAGCAUCUUGGUUAGAAUUGUCUCAACAGUAUAGCCUGCACUAGCACAGUGAUUUAGGCUCAUGCCAUGCGAAUCCCCUUCUAUCUCUGGGUCUCUUUUUUGUUUUCCUAGUAUGAGAGAUCCUAUUUGUAUCUAGAACUAGGAAAGACAUUAUCCAUGCAGUUAUUCUGGUUCUUGAUCCAUCAUAGGCAAUUUGUAUGCCUCAAAAUUUAGAAAGCACACAAAGUUGACAUAGGUGGAACAAUUGACUUGGUGCCUCUAACUGAAUGAAGCCACAUAGGCCGAACAGCUUCCUUGUGUUUUAGAAAAUAACAGCAAACCUCUAGGUUUUUUUAAUAUAAAAAAAACUUAAAAUGAUGCUAUAUCAGUUCAAAUAUCCACGUAUUAGUUUGAUACCAAAUGUCACUACUUCCUGUCAGAUGAAACACUGUUAACAUGUGCAUGUGUUAAUAUUGCAGAAAUGAGGAAAUAGGUCCUAAGGACUAUGGGGAUAUAUGCUAAUGGGAUGUGCCUUGACGAUGUCACAGAGUUUUUGAAUGCUGGUAUACUAGUUAUCUUGGCAAACAAAUAUCAAGAUGAACAAGUAUGCAAGUAUAUUGGUUUAUCUCAGUUGAAAUGACAGUUUUGAGGAUUUUUCAGAUGUAUCAGUAGUAUUACAAGAACAAUAGCAUGGGUUCGAAUCCUUGGACAGCCACAUCAUGCGAAAAAAAAAAAAAAAUCAAAGGAAUCAAUGAUUAGGAUUUCUCCCAGUUCACCCCUUCUACAACCGCAGAUCGUCGGGAUCAUAACUGGGUAAUGUAGUUUAUCAGUAGUUCUACAAUAUAUCAGCUAUAGCAUGUCAAGCCAUUAUGGAAAUAUUGGCUGUUUCAGAGUAGAAGAGUGAGACUAUUACAGCCACAUAACAAUACAAGUAUCAUGAAAUUAUAGAAUGGACAAAAUAUGUUAGCCAUGGGUUUGUUUCUAAUAUUUAGCUACUAUAAGGAGUUUAUUUAUGAAUAAUUUUGUUGUUGUGACGAGUUCUCUUUUUCUAAUAUUUCUUAGAAGAUGGUGUGAUCUCCUGCUCUAUUUGGUUGUUUUACCUUCAGGUGAAAGAGAGGAUUGUUUUCGCUGAACUUUGUCUUCUUGGAGUUGAUGUUUGAACGAAGUGAAUACCCUGGAUCACUCUUCUUCAUUCCCAAAGAGGAUCAUUGAGUUCCUCAGUAAAAUAUAACAUCGACGCUCGUACAAAAUUUCUUUGUUCGACAUUUCCUUUCGCUGGUCGUGCUAUAUCAAAUCCUGAGUUCAGGUGAAUUUCUGCUUCUCUUUCUUCUUUUUACUUUAGCUUUAGGAUUAGCAAAAAUUCUGAAGAUAUUGAACCAUGAACAUCUUGAAAGGAACAUGCAUGCGAUUUCGAUGUGGGCUACUUUCUUCAGUCUUGCAUUAGAAAGAGCAGUUAUUAUAUUUCAUUUCUAUUUGAAGGUUCACAAGGGAAAAGAAAGACUGAAUAAUUAACUCCCAGAAUUUUGCAGCUUAAAAACAUGGAGUAGGUUGAGUAAAUAAAGUUGCGAUUGGAGGUUCGGUUUUGGGUUUUUACUGACUUAUACUUUCAAACUCCAACUUAGUAUCGUGUUAGCAUAAUUUUAGAAAUCACGUAAUAAUCUAUAUCAGCCCAUAAUAUUUUUCUUUGUUAGUGUGAUCCUGUAUCAGUCAGUAUUAUUUUUCUUUGUUAGCAUGAUCUUGUUAGAGUAAUUUUAGAAAUUACAUAAUAACUUAUAUCAGCGAGUAAUAUUUUUCUUUAUUAACAUGAUCUUAUAUCAUCAUGUAUUAGUUUUCUUGUAUGAAGUUUGUACACGAGCAUAUAUAACCCUUGAGAUAUACCGAAUAUGAUGGAGUAGAAAAAUAAAAUCAUUUUUCUCUCUCUUUUUUUCUCUUGUUUUCCUCUUCUUCUACAAAUAUGUUAACAUACUGUAUGUAUGUUACAUAGCUAUGUCAAUAUAUGCAUCAACAUAUUUCCUUGUGCAUGAGACAUGUAAUGAAAAAUAUACUGGAUGUUUCGUACAUGUCCUUGCAGGAGGCUCAGCUCUCUAUUUUGACUUGGAAAUCAAUAAGAAAUCUCCCAAAGCCAUCUGUAAACCAGAAUCUUUUCCAUUAUUCCAGUCUUUCCACAUAAUUUGAAGAAUGGAAAAACUGGAGUUAAAAAAUAUAAAACGGUCAGUGAAAAGGUAAUAAGCUAUCUUCCAAACAAUUUUGAUAGAAAGAAUAUAAAGUUUCACAGAAAAAAAUAAGGAAAAGAUGGGGUGAAAGGAGAGAAAAGGCCAUGUUCCCUAAGAAUGUGGUGCGAGAAAAGAGAACCUUUAUCACAAAGUUCUCAUAGGCCUGAACAUUGACCACUUCAUAAUGGGCUUUGAAUGCCUUGCAGGUGCCCUUUCUAUGAAAGCCAUAUUAAGUUAAUCUUGUUUAUUUUAUAAUUAGGUACUGUUAAUAGUUGAAAUGACAUCUUCUUCUAUUUGUGCAACAGUGUGACCAGCACAAACAAUAAAAAUAAUUGAAAGGCAUCGAUAUGGCGAGACCCACAUGAAUGGCAGGUGACUAGUGGGUCCUUCCUAUGUGCAGGAAACUAAGAGCUAGAGGACAUGACAAGGUGGCAGAUUUGCUCUUUCUUUGUGAACAGAAAGGAAGCAAAUUAAUGCAUCAUAACUAUUCUCAUGUCUUGAUAAAAAUGGCUUUAUUGGACAUGUGGCUUUAGUUCCUCAUUGUCUAGAAAAAUUGCAAUUGAUAACACCUUGCUAGAAAUGCUUUUGCUGCAAAAAUUAUUGCAUUCAGGAGAAGAUUUUAAUGGAGCAUUUUACACUUUUAAUAGACCUUUUACAAUUUGUGAAAAAUUAGUUCUCUCUUAGUAGUUACUAAGACAUGUUAGCAUUGCUCCGACGAGAAUUAAUACGGCUCAAGGACUAUAUUCACCUAGCUUGAUCUGAUGUUGGCCUCAUCAAGUCUCCAAAGCCAAAUCCAGUUGGGAUCUCUAGUGUAAUCAAAGCCACCUAGUUAGACAACCAAGUCUCUUCCUGAAGGGUUCGCUCACCAGCACACGUAUUUUUGGAUUUCAGCAUUCCAUUUCUUUUCCUAAGAAUUUGUUUGUAAACCUGCAAGCUAUUUCCUGCUAUUGAGAUCUUCGAUGAAAAGAAAAUUGCUGCUUUUGAUGGGCAUUCUUUUGCAUUCAGUCCCUCUGCAAGUACCCUAUAUCAUUUGGUGCGGAUAACAUUUAGGUAAAAAGGGGGUGAUGUUGCUUUUCAAGCCAAGGAUAUUUUCAGAAAGGCUAAUAGGGUUGCGGAUUGGGUGGUCUCGUACAUGGCUGACCACUUCAGAGGGCUAUGGGUUAUAGACAGGGAGCUGCCCAGAGCACUUCCAAACUUGUUGUUUUUUGAUUUUUUUAGGUGUAUUUAUACUAGAAGUUUAUGAGCCAUCCGUUUUAGCAUAAAUAAAAAAAAACUGUUAGAAGAUAACAUUUGGAGGUCAAAUUGAAUCAGUUUCUAAUCCAUCUUGGUCCUGAACUUUUGUAAUUAUAGGAGUUUUCCAUAUGAUGGGAACAAAGGAAGCAGUACAGUAUCUAAUCAGUAGGCAAGGUGGGGUUUCCCCAGCUACGCUGGGCUGGGCUGUACAGGUAUUGGCCUCACUUUAAGUUGCAAGUGUCUUGGCCAAAUUUAGUACAUGGCCCCAUGCUUACACCAUAUAAAUUAUACUGGCAUCUAGCACAAGCGAAGUAUAUGAUUGACUGAAGCAGAUGGAGCAUUGGAUAGAUGGUUGAGAAGCCAUCAACCGAUGAAAUUUAUGCUACUGCGCAUGAUUGAGGUUUGAAUUUCCAACCUUAGGAUAACUCAACAACUACGAGUGCUAGCCAAUUGCGCCGCCACCCCUAGGUCAUAUGAUCUUUUUAUGUGGCAAUUGAUCCAUAAUUUUUGUUUUUGUUUUUUUCCUUUCUUGGUUAAUAAUGGCUACCCUUGUUCCUACCAUGAAAUCUAAAGAGUGAAAAUCAAAAGGCGUUUAUUGAUCAUAGAAGAGAAUGCUUGUCACACAUUAUUGUUACAGAGUGUCACCCGACAAAGACAAGGAGCCAUUGAGUUUCAUAUAAUAGGAGAUAUGUAAGAGAUAUAUGGUUAACAUAGUCUCAUAAAAAGUACUAAGCUUUAUAUAUAAUAUAUAAACCAUAAUAAAUAUUAAUUUUAUACAAAAAUAUAUUGUCCAUGAUAAGUGAACUUAGGCAAACCUGCAUGAGGCCUCUGAUAUGGAAACUUGAACCGGAAGCAUGUCACCAAAAAUAUAUGGUAUAAACAAAUUUCAAAUUAAUUCAUAUACUCAGAUAACCAAGAAUACCUCUUUAGGCUUAUAAUAGAAAUAUCAAAAGAUGUCAGUAAAAAGCUCUAUGACACGUCCAAGCUCUGCCGGCACUCCAACCUAUCCUCUUCCAACAUAAACAGUAUUUUAGUUUUUUUCACUAACUCCCGUUUAUUCAGCUAAGUAGCUAACAAAUCAAAAUGUCCAAACUUAACAAAAAAAAAUCAUAGCGUGCAUGGGGCAUGGUACAGCAAUUGCUUUGGGUAAUUACAAUGCAUUAAGUUGGAAUAUCUGUUCCGGGAUUAAAAAGUAAAGUAUUUUUUUUCCUUUUAUUUGGCUAUUUAUUUAAUAGAACACCUCCAACAAUUAACAUGUGGGUUAAGCCAUAAGAAUGGAUUCGUCCACUGGCCACUUUCUACUCUAAUGUGCCAUGCAUUGUUCGAACCCUGGAUCAACUCUCAACAUAUGGUGGCUUACUAGCCUGUUUGUAAGCUAACAUGGCAGGGAAUUUCAUUUCUAGCCCAAUCUAUUAAUUAAGACAAGCAUACAUACAUUUACAAAAAUUCAAAAAUAAAUUAUCCAAAAAUUAGAGCCAUAGUUAUGUUGAAGAAUCUUAUAGUGUAGAUAUAAUAUGAUUGGCCAUAUAACUUGCGUCAUUUCUAGUCUAAAACUUUAAUGAAAAAGUAAAGCAGGUACUAUUUCCUCUCACCGUCUUUCUUCGAAAAUUAGUUAAUCUAUAAGCUGAAACUAUCGGGGCAGGAGGAUCAUAAUCUUUAGAUUUGGUCCACCACAUAAAUUGUUCAAUUUAGAGUAGGUGCACUUAUUUAGUGGAAAUCCUUAGUGCAUGGUGUCAGAUAUUUUCCUCAGUUUCCAUUUUAAAACCACCGACAAGUAAGAGCGAUAGGUCAACCGCCGCACUACACCAUGGCUCCACCCAGAACCUUCCGUUAUUGCUUGGAACCAAUGCGGCGGAACUCAGAUCGAUGGAAUCUGGCCGACUGCCACCUGGUGGCGGAUCCAACACGAAAGAGUUGGUAGAAAGGACCCAUCAUUUGACAAUGUGGCAUUUUAUGGCCCCACCCCUGAUAAAUCUAGAGUUCUCUUCAGUACGCACCGUAAAAUACUGUGCAACAUUCGAUAGCUCCGGAUAGGACCAUGAUAGACCCAGGAUGACAACAGAAUUUUAUAGGUUUCCAUCUCUUCUUUCCUAGAUUUGUUAACUUAGAUCCUAUUUGAGAAAGAUGUUGAAUGUGGAGAUUUUAUAAAAAAUUAUUUACUGUUUGUUUGACAACUAUUCUUUAGUAUGACAAAAUAACCAUAAAUAAUAUUACAUAAUAAUAUAUAAUAUAACAUAAUAAAAUAUAAUAUAUAUUAAUACAUAAAUAUAUAAUAUAGUAUAAUAUCAAUAUAAUAUUAUUAUAAUAUAAUAUUAUAAAAUUAUCUAUUAUAGUAUAAUAAUUUAAUAUAAUAUAUUAAUGUAUUACCGUAUCCAAAGCUCCCGGCCUUAGACACAUAGUGGAACUCUAUUAUUGCCCAAGAAAAAGUCAUUAACCUCUUGCCAGCUUUAUCGUAAAUAUUCUUCAUUCUUCUUCAUGGAGUUUUUCGUAACUUUUUCUGUGCGAUCCAGCAGCCAUCUUUAGGGACCAUCGUUUCUUUAAAAAAACUUGGAUUCUCACCAUCAUACAAACUUGAAAUUAACAGAUCUUGUUUCGUUGUCAGACAAACAUUAUUAUUAUUAUUAUUUUUUGGAUCAACGCUUGUUUCAUCUUAUCCCAAGCCAAAAAAUUCUGGAUAUGGAUAAAAUUGAUAGAUUUUUUUUUUUUGUUUAAGUAUAAGAAUAUCCUUCAAUCUCUAGGGUAACGGUGCCGCCAUCUCCGAUAGCACAGCUCGACCAUACUUACCUUUUUUUCUACAUUACAUCCUAUUUUUCCGAUGGGCUUCAGUCUCCAUUUCACCUGCAAAAUAAGGAGAAAAAGAAAAAAAAAAACUUAUACCGUAUUCAAAAUGUAAUAAUUCUAUUUUUUCAUUUUACUUAUGUUGCCAAGCAGGGUUAAUUUUGUAUGCUCUCACACACUGCAUUCGCCUAUGCCUUUUUCAACCAUGAUAAACCUUUAGGUCUCUCCCUCUUGGAAAGUUGUCUCUACAAGAUUUCAUGAUGUGAUAAUAAAAUUAAACUGGAUGGUAUGGUUAGGCAUUUUUAUUUUAUUUUUUUUAUGACAGUAAAAUCAAGAUUAGAUAAAAGUAACAAUCUUUUUGUGCCCUUGCUAUACAGAUUAAAACAUUUGAGUUUCAAUACUUUUAUCUGGCUGUUACUUUGCAUUGAUUUGAAGUUGGGCAAUUCUACCAUGGCACAAUUUUGUUUUUUGGUAGGGCAUGAUAGAAAAAUUUAAAGUUCUCUUUUCAUAGCCGUUGGGCCUUAGUUUGAGUUCCAUCGGAUGAGAGGGCAGUUGCAACUACAGUAGAAAUUCUGACACUUCGCUUUUCUUGCUAAUUUAUGCCAACCAGUAUCAAGAUGAUAUCUUAUAAAAAUAUCUCCAAGCAAUUGGGGGUAAGUUCUAUAAUGCUAGUAUGUUGAUUGAACAUAUACCUUCUCGUAAGGCCACAAAUCCUAGCCCAGUCAAAUAUACAUAUCCCUCGGCCUUUUCCCAACCUCUCAGAUUGAGAUUUCCUUAACCCAACACAACCUAACCCUAACUUAAGCUAAAUUUGGGUUGGAUCUAGCAACGCCAACUAUGUUACAUUACGUUGAAUCAAAAAAAAUUAAAAUAAAAAAAUUGUCACAACUUUGGAUCUUACUUAAAAAACUAGUUGGAAGGUAUUUUUUUGAGUUACUUAGUCUUGUAUAAGUACCCAAAAUCUUCUCGGCGAAUAACCGAUGUGAGACUAAACAUACAUCCACAUGAAUCCUUACAUACUCUUUCUGUUUAAGCCUAACAUCCUUAUGAGGUUUAGGAUUCAAAUUUAUUCAAAUUUAAUCAUAAACACCAUGAGUGGCUCGUGGUCAGCCUCUAUGAACUCAUGCUACGGUGCCUCCCAAUCCACAUAGGCUAUGGACCAUGUUUGCUUUGAUACCAUUUGUUAUAACCCAAGGUCUCACCUAAAAAGGCUAGCUGAAAGGUACUGUUUUUUGGGUUUCUUAGUCCUAUAUAAGUAUCCAAAAUCUCUUCGACGAAUAACGGAUGUGGGACUAAACAUAUACCAACACAAAUCCUUACAAGUGCAAUUUAAAACAUUCAUGAUCGCUAAAUGUUUACUAUUUAUCCAUAUUUUUAUUUAAAAUAAUGUUCACAAAUUUUUCGCACUAUGAUCACUAUAACAUAUUUCAACCAUUCAUCAAUUUAAAUGAUGACUCACAAGGCUACAAAAACAUAUAAAUCCCAUAUGAAAUCUAAAUAUGAUUAUUUAUUUAUUUAUUAUUUAUCGUUUGGAUCAGGACAGCUUGGGUUGGAAAUCAACAAUAACUCAAUCUAAGAAAAGGUUGGGUUGGAAACCCAAGAUCGGGUUGGGAUUUGUGAACCCAAGCACAACCCAAAAUCUAAAUUUAUAACCUUAACUCAACCUUACUCGAUGAACGGACUGGGCAGGGGUUUGGAUUUGGGCCCGUUCCCAGUCGCGCACACACCCACACCCACACCCACACCCACAAAUUUUAGAAAAGCCAAGACAAUUCCUGCAUAAGUAACGUAGUCUGCUACUUGAUUUGCAUCUCUGUUGGAAGAACUUCAUUAUAACCUCUUUGGAAAAGUUAACAAUAGUGAAAAAAAAAAGCUCCAAGUUGCCAAGGCAGUUCUCUGUGUAUUAAGAAGAUAAACUAGCACUUUUCCACUAAUUGGCAGCCCAAGCCUCUGCUGUUGGAUCUACGAACAAAACCACCUCCAAUAUUCAAUAAAAAACCAAUGAUACUGAAUUCCAAAAAUGAGACAAGGGGUGGCUCUGAGCCUAGCCGUUUCACCACAAUCUUCAUAUUCCAUUUAUCCCAGGACCCCAAAAUUCCUUGACCGUAUAUAGCUAGGCGCUACAACGAAUUAUUCCACCCCAAACAAAAUGCAAUGCGUCACUAGUGAGUAUCAUUUGGCAUCACUUCAAAAACCAUGGGGCCAAACUGGUGACGGCCGGGAUCGACGUAUCUUCGACAUGAUUGUGGUUUGUACCGGGCUCGGAACUGCUUAGGAGGACAUUACUUUUGCGAGGCGUGUCGUGGGUGUAAAUCGUCUCCUCCUUGAGAGUGACUCGGCUGUGGUGAUUGAGUAGAUCCAAGGUCGGAAAGGCACUGCGAAGGAAAGACCGCUGCUCUACGACAUUUGCAGACUUCUGAAAGAGUGUGGCUCCUACAUGGCCAUUCAUGUUUAUACGAAAGCAAAUGGUGCGGCUGACUAGGUUGCUUCCUUUGUUGCUCACAACUUCGGUGGCUUUUUAUAGAGAAACCAAGCCUCUCUGCCGAAGCUCUUUAGUGAGCUAAUGUUUUCUGAUUUUAUUGGCCGCAUUCACACCCACUGCGUAUGAGCUGCCGUUAAUAAAAAAAAAACAAAACAAACAAACCUGUAUCGAUAAGAAUAGAUUUAUCCGAGAUACAUAUUUUUUUAAUGAGGUUUCAGGAAAAAUAAAGGUGUCUACGAGUCACCACAGCAACCAUGAAGACAAAUCCUGGGAAAGACACAGGAGACGCCUAAAUCUUGCCUCCAAUUCACCACAAAAGCAUCCUUUGCGGUGCCAAAGUUGCGACGUAAACACUUUACUGCACACAAUCCUUGCAUCAAGCCAUCAACGCAUGCAACCGCGGGUUCGGGGUGUAUAUUUCGCGCGAACGGAUGAUUGAUAUCCUUAACAUAAUCUGCACCGUCCGAUCGCUGGUGGGAGCGACUAAAACUGCCUGCGGCGCCUAAUUUAAGAUAGGCCUCGAGCCUUCGACAUCUACUCAGAAAAUAUAUAGCGGGGGGGACGAGGAAGAACAGCGGAGAGAAUGGCCGCGGCCGUGGGGAGCCUGAGGGCCUUCGUUCCUCGUCGCUGCCUCCGCAACCGUGGGUGUCCAAGCGCGAAGCCUCCGCUCUCGGUUCGGAUUCGAGCCUCCUCUUCCGUCACCGCCAGCGUCGAGGCUAACCCCGUGGUAAACAGGGCUCUCUCUUGAUCUAAAAUUUCGUGGUUCUUAUUCUUCAUUUUGGUUACCAAUCCGAUCUUUCUUUCUUGAUGGGUUUUCUUAAACCAUCGUAAAUCUUGAAUAGAGUUUGAUGCUGAUCAUUGCAAAGAACUACAAAUGAUGUUUAUGUAACAGGGAAUGAAGAAUCGCAAUUUACGUGACCUGUAUCCACCGUGCUACUAUCAUUGUUUCGAAAAAUUAGAUUAUGAUUAACAAAUCCAGUCGAUUUUUUGUCCUUAAGUUUUGUGAUGGUUAGCUUAAACGUUUACGGGAUGUCCCUUUUUUGCCCCCCUUUCUUGUGAAUGUAAUGGAGGGCCGAAGUCUCUAUUAGAGGAAAAAGGAGAAAAAAUUUACAGGUUCCCUGUAAAGUAGGGAGAAAAGAAGAGGAAAAUGGGAUGUCGGAUGAUUAAAAAUGUGGGAUUUUUUAGUUCAUUUUAGUUCAAAAAUUUUAAAAAAAUGACAUUUUUGGUGGAUGAGUUUAUUGGUAAUAUAGGCAGUAGUUUGGAGGGUGAUAGGCUGUUGAGGGUCACGGAUUUAGAAUUUCAACAGAGAUGAACAGGGUGUUGUCUCAGAUAGAUGAUGUUAUAGUCUUUUUAUCACCUGAUCAAAAUCUAAUUUUUGAUCGCAAUGAGAUGGAACAGAGGAUUUUUUAUUUUUUAUUUGCUGUAAUUUUGCUAUAGGAGCAUCCGACAAGAGACAAAAAUGGCAGAAUUAUGGAGCCUUGUAAGUUACCUCUCAAGCAAUUGAACUUGGAAAAAAGAAACUUGGGUCUCAGCAUCAACCAGCAUGCCUAUUUUGCUACAAUAGGAGCAUCCUACAAGAGACAAAAAUAGCAAAAUAGUGAAGCCUGAUAAGUUACCUCUCAAGCAAUUGAACUGGGAAAAUUGAAAAAUGAAACUUGGGUCUGAGCAUAACCCAACAUGCCUUAUUGAAAACGUGUGGAGUUGGGCUUACUUUCUUUCAACAUCCAUUCCUAGUAACUGUCUACAACCUUCUUCCAACAAAAAAAGGAAAUCAUCACUUCCAUCCAUUUUUUUUAGGUACCAUCCUUUGUGUUUUUGACCAUUAAAUUCUAAUAACUAUUUAUUGUGAUCUCUUUGAAUUCUCUUCUGGGUAUAUGCGUAGCUCUGCCUCCAUUAUCCUUGAACUAUACUGGUACAACUAAUGAUUCAUAUAAUAUUCUAGCUUCCACCAUACUUAUUCCUAGUUUUUUACACAUCCAUCAUUCUCAUCAUACGUAUUAUCUGUCUAGACUUAGUCCUAGUUUUUAACACAUCCAUCAUUCUCAUCUUGUGUAUUAUCUGCCUAGACCUUAUUUAGUGCUCCAAAUUUUUGUUGGUAGUACUAGCCACAUCAUUGCAUCAUUAUGUUAUCCUUUAGUCUGUACAAAGAUAAGACAAAAGUAUACCUCCUUUCUCAUGUAUAAUAGAUCAAACAUAAAGGAAGUUAUCACAAAGGAGCACUUCUUGGUCCUUUAUGCUCACCAAGACUAUAUUUGACUUUAAUAUCCACUUCGUGCACAAGCAAAUGACCUCCCAAAUAUAUGAUUUAGGUUUCUAGGUAUUUUGAUAACAUAGAUUAUGACCAAUAGUGUGAAUUUUCCAUCCAGAAUGUCCAUCUCUGAUUUUGAAUUGAUAGAUUUUGUUUCAAUCCUUCUGGAAAGAAUGUCCAUCUCACUCUCACUCUAGCAUAUAUCUAUGUACAUAUAGUUGUGCAACCAUGUUGUAAUAACUGGUCACGUAAAACCUAUUACACCACUUCCAAUGGAUCCAAAAGCUAAUAGUUAGGGCCUGUUAGCAUGAAGCCACAAACACAUCAACUUAGUAACUAUUCUUAAAUGAAGUAAUUAAUAAUGCUUUGACAAUUCAUCUUCGAGCUUUAUUUUUCAAAAAUAUUAUACAUAUUGCUGUAGAAGGAUUAAAGUCUUUCAUUGUGGUGGUGCGCCAGCCUGGCAUUGGCAUGAUAAAAUUUUUACUAUGCCUUGCCAUGUGCCAUCUCAAUACUGGCACGGUUUGGAUGGCAGCAUGCCAAGUAGUGUGCAUGCCCCAUAUCAUGCCAAUGCAGCAUUGAGGUAAGGGACUGAACAAUAGCAAAUUGCAUAUUGUUCAGUGUUGUGCUUUGCUGGUUGGCACUUAAAUUAUGAAUGUUGUUGUCUCUGAUAACCUUUUCUCUGCUCUUGUGUUUUCAGGAUCCUAUUCCAGAUGCAAAAGUUAGCACUGGGAUGAAUAAUUUAGGCUGUCCUGUUUGUUAUUAUCCAUUAAUCAGUAAAAGUAAUGCAAGCCAAACUGUGUAAGUUAUCUGAUUUUGCCUUGAUAGAAGGAGGCUCUUCUCUACCUGUCAGCUUUUGAUCCCUAAGAUAAUGAAGAUCGUUUCCCCAGUGUUCUUACACUUUUAAAUCAUAUGCUAAUCGUUUAUUUUAUGUUGCACUGGAUGAGUUUAUUACAGAGCAUCACCAGCUGGGUCUGAUGUUGAAUGCCAUAUUUGCAAGAAAGAUUACUUCAAUAAUGGAAUAUAUCUGGAUCUGACAGUAUCUAGUGGCUCAAAAGAGUACACUGAAACUGUGCCAGCUGGAACAGAACUUUUUAGGUACCUAUUUACCUUUAAACUUUUAAAGAAUUCUAUAUCAUAUCUGUUGCUAAUUUUAAAUGAUAAAAUCACAUUAGAUCAUUACAGACUUUCCAUCUCAGCAUUUACAGACCUAUACACAUAGUUAAGUAAUGGAACUAUGAUUUUGUCCAUAGCGUGAUCCUUGACCUCUUAUAGGAUGCACAAAUGUCUCAAAUGGAUCCUCAUAUAUGUAUCAAAUUACUUGAUAUGAUUUGCGUAGGUUAACAUAAAACUUUCCCCAAAAAAAUUCAUAAGUUAACAUAAAAAUUUCACUAUAUUUGUGAAGUCACUAGUAAAAAUUGCUUUGUUGUUUGAUCCUUAUGCAUUCGCUGUGUAUUAUAAAAUCGAGCAAGUUUUUUUUUGGAAGAUAUAUGCUAUUUGCAGGGGUGAGGGAAUCCCAAACAGAUUUGCAAGUUCUAUGUAUUGAAGAGAUUAACUAUGAAUGACACUCAAAUCAUUACUAAAACACACAAUUCUUUGCAAUUCCAUGUUGCGUUAUAAAUGUUAGGAGCCAUGAUCAGUUAAGGAGAGGGAUGCAAGACUAAUAGUGAGAUGCAAGGAAAGGGAUUGGGAGAUUUUGACAAGAAGGGUGUUGCUCCACAUGAUUGUCUCUGGUUAUCAUUGUUGAGCUCUAGUGAUUGGGUCAUAGAUAAAAUAAUAGCAGAAACUGGAGUGGAAUGAGUGGGCAUGGGAACUUAUUUUUUCCCAUUUCAUUCCUUAGGAGUCCAAGGGUAGGUAAUGCUCAAUCUGUCCAAAAUCAUCUAAAGAGGAACACUGAAAAAGAGUUUUACCUUAAAACUGAUGCAAAAUAGGAUAAAAAUAAGAAGGGGUUAUCUACUAAUGCUAUAGAAAAUCUCUUGCUACCUCUAUCUUCUAGGUUACUCAAAAUGAAAAUUCUAAAUCCUAAAGUUCUCCCUGCCAAUUUUUUUAAUUUUUUUCCUUCUUUUUUAUUUGGGUGGUGGAACAAGCCUUUCACUUGUGAUUUUUUUUCUGUAUACUUGUUAGUUUAAAGUACAGUAGCUAUUCCUCCUCUCAAUGAGUCACGGUUUGCAGUUUUCCAUCCAAUAUCAUGUAGUUGUUCUUGGUACUUGAGUUGUUAGGGUCAUGUAUAGAGGACUGUACCUGCAUGUAUCAUGAAGGAUUUGAAGGAGGGAGCUGGGGUGGGGUUUUGUCUUGGUUUUGCCCAAGGAUCACCGAACCGGUACUGUAUCGGGUACUGGUCGGCGCUCGGAUCGAUUCGGACCGGUACCGAACCAGCAAAAAAGGCCACAGGUGCAGCACGCACGCGGCGCCACAGCCACAACGCACGACGCGCUAUGGCAGAUCGAUCCAGACUCGAUGCCGGUUCGCACUGAGUCCUGGCUGAACUGGACGGAACCAAUCUGGUUCCGUCCGGUUCGUUCUUAUAUCGGCCUGUUAGGGGCCGGAACCGUUUUGUAUGCCCGUACCGAUCCGAUCAACAACCGGGUCGACACAGUUCGGCCUGAGCCAGGCGGUACAGCCCGGUUCAGCAUUCAUUGGUUUUGCCUCAGUAUCAAUACUGGAGCUGAAGCUGCUUAGAUUUGUUUAGGUUUUCUCUUCCUGCUGGAGUUCCCUUCUAAGUCUAGUGCUUCUUCUAGAGUAUCAGCAGAAGGCCCUUUCACAACCCAAGAGGGAUUCUAAAUUUUUGAAGAAUGAAAAUGUUCUAUUCAGGUUUUCUGGAUACUUUUACUUUAGUCAGUACUUAAUAGCUAACCCUCCACUGUUUUGACAUCAAAUUUUAGGAUGUAGGAGGCCAAUGGAAACUGAUGCUAAUACGAACAAAAAUGGAACUUGUAACUAGCUUUGCAAGGAAGCUUUAGGAGCAUUUCUCACUGUGGUUUCCAAUGUGUCAUCCAUUUAGGUCCUACAAGGUUGUGUCAGAACAUACUUUUCUCCUACUAGCUUUGUCAUGAAUACUCUUAAAUCUCAAACGAUUGUUGAUCUCUUUCUGAUAAUCUCUUUUAUGAAUGUAUGAAUAUUUCCUAAGUUUGUGCCAUCCUGUUGGAACAGCAUUCUUUUGGCUCUUUGCCUUGUUUGUGCAUCUAAAAUACAUAAAAUUUAACGGCAGCAAAAGAUAUCUUUCCCCUUAGUCUAGAUACUUUGCAAGUCUAGGGAAAUUUUGAAGGAUUGCUCUUUAGUUCCACAAGCUCAGCUGUGACCAAUAAUGUAGAUUUCCCUACCUGCGCACCAAGCAUAUAGGUUAUAUGAAAAGCUCUUCACUUACCUAGAUUUGCCAUGCUAGGGAUUCAAUAUUGAUGUAAGUUUGACUACUGGUCAUAAAAUGUGCUCUAUCCUUUUAGGGAGCCUUUUUCUUAACAUUGAGUUGUGUGCUAUUGCUAACCCAAUAUGGUGGUCCUAGAAUCUGUUCUAUGCUUUUAGAUAGCCUUUCUCAUCAUUGAGUUGUGUGCUGUGGCUGAACCAUAUUUGGUAGGAAAAGGCUUUCUAACAUUAAUGUUGAGACUUUCUCAACUUUCAUGGAGUCUCUCUCUCUCUCUCUNNNNNNNNNNNNNNNNNNNNUCUCUCUCUCUCUCUCUCUCUCUCUCUCUCUCUCUCUGUGUGUGUGUGUGCGCGCGCGCGCGCGUGCGUGUAUGUGUGUGUGUGUGUGUGUCAAUUGCCAUUUGGUAUCCAAAAUUUAAUCCUGAUUUGACUGCUGAAGAAUAUCAUGCCAAUCAGAUCUGUAAGCCUUUUGAGCUUGCCUCUUAGAUAAAUAAAAUUUAUCUCAAUUAGCAUGAGAUUCUUUUUUUCAUUCAAUAGUACAUUUUUCCCCUAUCCAUGCAGCCUAUUUAAAAGAAUAGGAGUCCUUCGGCACCAUUUGUGAUGUUGCAUUGUUGUCUGUUAACAAGUUAGCCGAUUGGUUAUCAAAUGGUUCUUUGUUUAAACUAUGUAUCAUUUCAUCAGGUAUGUUACUGACUGAUUACCUAUUUUAAUAUCUUAGUCCUGGAUCUAGGGAAUUAAUGUGCAUCUCUUUGUUUGCAUUGAAUGCUAUAAAAAUGAUAAAUAGAGGAAAAUUUUAAAAAAAAACACCUUGUUUAGUACUUACAUAUUAUGUGUGGGAGUAAAUGAUGGCUUGGAAAUCUGAUGCAAAACAACUUUGCAGAACAUCUUGACUACGUCACCCUUGUAAAGAGACGAUAAGAAACUCCUGCUACGUUGACCUAUUUUAUUGAGCUAUAGGUAGUCAAAGAGCAAGAAACUGAUUCACUUUGAGUUGAACUUGCACGUUUCAUUCUUACUGACUGUUUAUUGGAACAGGAGUCAAUUGGUUUCAUUUCUUUAUGAAAGGGGAUGGCGACAAAAUUUCAUAUGGGGUGGUUUCCCUGGCCCACAAAGAGAGGUUUUGUAGUUUACCGACUUCCAACUAUAUAUUGUUGUCCAUUGUAAAUUGAUAAAUGACUCAUUUGUAUUGUUGCAGUCUUUCAUUUCAGCAACUUUUUUUUUAUGCAGUUUAUACAAGUAUGAGCUAGGAGAUACUAACAAUUUUACUCUUCUUAGAAUUCUGAGAAAACUCAUCAAAAGUUUGGAAAGUUUUCUCUGAAGUACCAAUAAGAAGCAUAAUUGAACCACUUUAUAAUAUACAUUGUGUGAUAUGAAUUUUUCAGGUUUAUUUUCCUUGUGGUUUUCACAUUUGUCCAAUAUCAAAAUUUCGCUGAUAUUCUUGUACUGCAGUUUGAAAUGGCUAAAGUUUACCUUACACCAACCAUUGGAGGAACUAUUGUCGAUGCAAGUUGUGGAAGUGGCUUGUUUUCAAGGCUAUUUGCUGAAAGUGGAAUGUAUUCACUUGUUGUUGCUUUGGAUUUCUCAGAGAAUAUGCUGCUGCAGUGUGAUGAAUUCAUUAAGCAGAAGGGCAUUUCAAAAGAGUUGGUUUUUCUCCUUCCACAUAAGCUAAUGUUCUUAUAUAUCAAUAGAGAUUGUCAGGACCUUCAGAAUUAUCUUGCAAAAAUCUUUCAAAAUAAAAAGUUAUAUGAAGGCUUAGUAUCUUACUGGUAGUUUAUAUCUCAGGUUGCAAUUUUUUAAAAGAACUAAAAUCAUGCAAGUUUUCUGCAGGAAUUUAAUCUUGGUCAGAGCUGAUAUCUCUAGACUUCCAUUUGUUUCAAGUUCCAUUGAUGCUGUGCAUGCUGGUGCUGCAUUACAUUGUUGGCCUUCACCAUCCACUGCUGUGAGUGCAUUCUCCGCUCAACUUUUCUUUAGUGAACAAGUUUAAACUCAGGAGACCGAGUUUCACAGUGCAAGAUAUGUCUAGGAGCUUAAGCAGUUAAAUUAGGAUAUAAAGAUUAUGUGUUCGAGAAGGUGCUCUACUGUGUGGUGUUAAGCUCGCUCUCUCUGCUUGGCGCCAUCACCGUACCCUCUAACCAUCACCACCAUGACAAAUCCGAGCCUACCAAAAGCUUGUCUUCUCCUCUAUGAUCUAACCCUAUAUUAAAUUACUAGAGACUACUUUAUGAUCAAUGCUGACCUAAUAUUAUGCCCGCUAGUUGAUUGACUUGGUUUGAAGCCUUUGUGCAGUUGUACUGCUCAUCUUAGUGGUUCUCCGAGUCAUGAUUGUUUACUGGUUGGUGUUGGAAAAAAAGGUUGACACUAAGGUGGUCACAGAGGCUUGGUUCAGCUUUUACCAGGGUCCUAGUUCCAACACCAAACCUAUAUCUUGUUGCCAUGGUCCUUUGAUUAGUCUGGAACUCGCGUCAUGAAAUAGUGAAAGACAAAGGACAGUCAUUUCUCAAUCUGUGUUGAGCUUCGCAGCAUGGUUUUUUACCUAUUUAAGCCUUAAUUCUCAAUCAUUAGUAGGCCAAAGGCCAGCAUGAUUUUGUUUGUAUAUUCUAUAGUCCUGAUCUUCAAACCUCUAACCUUAUAUUAUAAUAUGAUCCUCCCUAUGUUGGGUUUAUCUCACAUCCAAUUCCAUAGGCUCUUUCGUUGAUAAUUUUCCUAAUUCAUCUAAAGCUGCUUAUUGGAUUUUGGUGGUGUCUGCAUACUAUUCAUUGCAGAACUAAAAGUUUCGAACAUCAGUUAGCUAGUCACGGUUCUUAUAGUUGGUUUUCUUAUCCAUUUCUUUAGAUUAUCCAGUAAAAAGAAAGCAUACCAUAGUGCAUCAGUAAAUUAAAUUAUUAUUUAUGUUCAUAUUCUUUCCAAUAAAACUUUUGAGUUGGUUUUGUUUAAUUAUUGAAAGAAGGAAUAACGAAUUCAGCUCCUUGCUUUUGUCUCCCCCAUAAUAAAUAACUUUAUGGCAAUGAAAGAAAAGUACUUUCCUUCUCCAAUCUGAAUUUUCCUUCUCUUACCUGAAUUGUCUUGUAGGUCGCAGAAAUAAGUCGAGUACUCCGCCCUGGAGGUGUAUUUGUUGCCACAACAUUUGUUCUUGAUACUAUUCCUCCAGCUGUUCCAAUCUUCAGAGCAAUACGUGAGGUAAUACCUUAUUCAGCCAAUAUAGAAAACAUUUGAUUCAUUUAUAUAUGAAAAUAAAAAUAAUGGGCUGCAAGCAGGAGGAAAAAAUAAUAUUUUCUCAUCUAUACAGUGCUACUGUUGGAAUUUCAUUAGUUGCUUAGACAGCCCCACUUUUCCAAUUUGAAAUGAGUAUAAACGUUAACCAUCAACCAAUGGGAAAUUCAUGAUCUCAAAAUCCCACAUGCUUGCUAACAAUGUUAUGAUAAACGUAGUAUGCUUUUGCANNNNNNNNNNNNNNNNNNNNNNNNNNNNNNNNNNAGGUUCCUUUUGUUUUUUUUCUUUUUGUAUUCUUGUGCACUUCUAACUGGCUAUGUUUUUUUUAAACCUUUUGAGGAGGAAAUUUUAAUUGGCUAAGCUGUGUCCUAAAAAAAAUUGGCAUGUUUCAUAUCGCCUUUUUCCUACUUUCUGUUUUUUUUAAAAAAAAAGAAUCAAGAGAAAAAUAGGUUUAGUGUUAUCAAUCACUCCACCACCAGCCAGCGGCGACCACCAUUACCGUUGCUGCCACCAUUGCAGCUGCUGCCACUGCCACUAUCCUGCUUGCCUCUACCUCUGCCUUCACUUCUAAUAACAACCGUUGCUAGAAGCUAGAAUAGGGAUGGUUUUUAUUUUUUUAUGUUUACAAAAAUAAAUGUAGUUUUUAUAUUGUUGAUUUUUUAAAAUAAAAUAUUUUUUAUUUUUAUAAAUAGGAAAUUGAAUGUAAUACCAAAUAUAACCUCAAAUCGCUUAAUUUGCCUUUUCUUUUUUAUCCUUACAGCUUUAUACCCGAACCUCAGGCCAACACCUCUAUCUGUCAGAAGGCGAACUCGAAGAUAUCUGCAGUGCAUGUGGUUUGAUUGGUUUUACGCGCAUCAGGAAUGGAUCCUUUAUCAUGAUCUCUGCAACCAAACCGGGCUAAUCAUCCUGUCGAUGUCAACCAUUGUGCUGAUCAUCAGUAGUCUCUAUAACAAGUUAUUUUUAAAGCUGCAUCAUUGGAAUGGCCAAUAUUUGUUUGUUCUCUUGUACAUGGGUUAAGGUUUUUGGUGGUUGGUGGUGGCUUCUUGUCUUUCAAGAAACUUAAUACAGAUUACUCUGGCGGGUGCAUGGCCCAAGUCAUCCAUACACCAUUGAAGGACAUGAUUAUAGUUUUGUUAGAAAAAGGGGACAUCUGCAUAUGUUUGUUAAUAGAAUACAUCUAAAGGAUACUCCUAUGCGUUUACCCCCCUUUGCUUGAUCGAGAUUGGCUUAGUCGCUUCCUUAAAUAAUCAAAAUUUGCAUGAGAAGAUUCACCCCAUUUUAGCUAGCAAGAGGGAGGCAGUUAAUCAUCUGAUCUAUUGAUUUAUAACUUGGUUUGUAUCCCUACUUCCUAUCAGACCUAUCAAUUAAAGAAAUGUUCUAGUUCUGCAGUGCGAGCUUGACUGUUACUUUGAGAUGGUAGAUUUCUUUCAUGAGCAAGGGGCUCUCUUCCUUAUCAUUACAACAAAUGAACGUCCUUAGGGAGACGUGUGAACAACUGAAAUAUGAUUGAUUACUGGCGUUGAGUAUUGAUGCACUUGAUGGCAAGUAGUGGCCGGCGAAUAAUAGCCGGCGGUAGCGAGAGAUGGCAGUGGUGGGUGAAGGAGGUGGUAGUAGGCAGCUGCUAAUUUUCAAUAACGGUUAAGAACUAUAGCUUUUAGCUUUUACAAUUUUUGAAAAUUGGAUCCUAGUUUCGAAAAACUAAAACUAAAAAUUGGAUUACCUUUUGUUGUCUUGGUUUUUAUAUUUCAAUAAGAAUAAAAAUUGGAAACCAGCAAUCAUCCAAAAAAGGUUCCAAGUUUGUGGCGUCUGAAAUCUGCUUAUUUUCCCCCCCUCAUUCACCGUAGAUUGCAGUGUCAAGCUUGGAAGAAAUAAAGCGGGAUGUUGAUGCAGCUACAGACACUUCAGAAAGCUCAGAGCGAAUGAAAUCUUGAUUCAAUUUUUCACUAGUUUAAGGACAUUUGCUGAACGAAUGUGCCCUAAAUUUUUAUUUAGGGAUUUUUAAUAGCCAAGACUCUGGUAAGGAAAUUUCUUACAAAACUAGGAAAAUGGAAGUUAUGAUCACUGAAGAAAGGGGAAGGGAAAGUGAUUUAUAAAAUUUACACAUAGCUACACUGCAUGAGAUAUGUCAUAUGUCUGACCCCAACGCAUUUUUUCCCAUCUCGCACAUUUCCUCUCCCUCCAUUUUCAGAUUUUAACCACAAGAUCAAAGAUUCAAAUUUUCUAAAAACAGUUAUUGAUUUUAUUUAAGUAAUUUUUUUUAUUAAAAAUAAAUAAAAAUUCAAAAAAUCAAGUCUUGUCAUCAUAUAUUUACAUUUACUUCAUAAUUAAAAAUAAAAUUAUCAUGCCCAUGGUAUGAUAUUAUUACAGAACUUCGCAAAGAUCACCCACCGAGAUCCUCUGACUCUAAUGUUUCAGUAGGACCAAGAUUUUUAAUACUGAUAAAAGAAAUUUUAUAAGAGAUCCAUCACAUAAACAACCACGUCUUCUGUCUUUAUUUUUUUUGGUCUUCCAUCAAACGUCAGAGGAAAUGGUGGCACUUAAGAUGGUAUAGAAUGUCAGCUGUUGACAAUGGUACCGGGUGGCAAGUAAUGGAUAGUUUGGUGGACUGGGUUAAUUUAACAACAGGCUUUCUACUACAAUUGGAUUGAAGAGGGCCUCAUCAGAAGGCUAACUCAAGCUUCAGAGGCUCUGAAAGUGCUGUGGGUACUGCAGGGUGGAUCAUGGUGAGUUCAAGGUGGUAUCCAAAACACCUAAAUCAUUUAACCUAUGAGGACCACCAAUAAGCCGAAUACACUGAGAUCAGGCAAAAAGACAACUGACAGCAGAACAUCAACCAUGCCAGGAUCCCAAAACUCAGCCCUAGUUCGAUACGAAAUCCCCGCGCAACCAAUAGCCAGCAACUGGGGCAACCCUAGCACAUCAGCAUAAGUAACACUUUCGAUAGCAGUUUNNNNNNNNNNNNNNNNNNNNNNNNNNNNNNNNNNNNNNNNNNNNNNNNNNUUUAAGGAGGCAGCAAAGCUGCAAGACACCUUCGCAGAGUAACCAAUCAUUGGAAAUGAUGUUACCUAUAGAACUUCGGACACAAACCAAAGAGGGAAAUGUGUCUAUAGAUUAGCAUCAAAUCAUCUCUAGGGUAUCGCACUUACAAGAAACAAAAAAGUAUGACGGGGAAAAAGAAUUAAUGAACCAGUCAUCCUCAAUUUCAGGUAAUGUGCUGAAAUCACAUUUUGAUGUUGAAGUAAUCAGGGUCAAAGUGAUGCAACCUCACGUAACCAUCCUCACCACCACUUGUGAAGCUAUCCAACACAGAAAAUAAUAAUUAGUAUGGCGUCACAUGUUUGAAAGAUUUCUGUAGCAUGAAUCUCAUAUCCCAUUAAUUGCCAGCAAUAUACAGCAAAUUCUAGCCCCGAAAAAAAAAUAAUGUACAGCAAGUAUAUCGUAAAUGGCAUUUAUAGCAAUUUAAAUAACAAGACAAUAAUUCCCUUAAGAAAAGGGUGUAAUACUAAUACCAACACCAUCCCUCAAAAAAAAAAAGGCAACCAAUUUAAGCUCUUUCUAAACAUUAUACAUAGGUUGCAGCAAAAGAUUUGAAUGAUAAUAUAGUGGACAAGUCGUUGAUGUUCAAUUAAGCAAGAAAUGCCUUGCCAAAUUAUGGAAGAUUUGGGAUACUCAACAAGGACAUCAACUUAAUAUAUAUAUAUAUUAAGAUCUUUUUUAAUACAGCAUGUGGACCAAUGAAUACUUGCCUGCACUAAAAGCAUACAUGCCUUUGGUGAAGGCCUCCUGCAGCUAGAGCCCCUCAACAUCAUAUAUUAGAACUUGAUGACUCCAUUACCACAUCUCAUGCCAAGACUCAUUGUUUCUAGUCGUAACAAACAAGUUAUGCAUCUCUGUACUUUUCUGUCUUUGGCGGGCCAUAACUCAUACGCAAGAUAGGCCAUUCAUGUCGAAUAAGAGCACAUUUCGCCUAUAUGCCUAGGUGUAUCACAAGCUAAAUUCAUGGUAAUGAGAAAAGGUUAUGAAAAUGUCCUGAUAUUCUUUUUUUUCAAGGGAAAGGCAGGUCAAUCCACCCAUAUAUCCUCAUAUUCAAGAACUAUAUAUGCAUACAAAAGACUAAAUCCAACUACAUGGCCUAUGACAUCUCAAUGAUCAAUUACUGAUGAUAAUGGCAUGGCAGUAGGGGUGUGAAAAAAAGCAGGCCAAACUACGAACCCAAACCGAUCAGGUCACUUCAGUUGAGUUUAAGCAGGGUUUUUCUAUAGUCAGUUUAGUUUCAGUUUAAAAAAAUUUCAAACCGAAAAAAUUGGUUCAGUUUCAUUUUGGAUUUUUGAGAAAACCAACCCUGAUAUAUGUGUGUAUUUUCCCUUCAGUGGUUCAGCCCUAACCCUAAUCCUUUUUCAUGGGUCUCCUCCCCACUCGGACAACCACCAAUCACCCCUUCUUUAUCUCACCAUCUCUUCCCCUCACCACUCCAGCCACCGGUGCCUCCUCAUCCUGCCAAUCGAUAAGGAGCCAAUGGCGUCAUUGCCCGGCAGCUAAAGCAGCUGCAAUGGGUGGGGGAGAUGGCCCUCGUGCCUCAUGGGGUGUCUCAUCUCUUUCAAGCCCCACUAUCUUGUCAUGAAGCUCGGCUCUUGGAACCUACCCCAAUUCCUUUCUUUUGAUUCUUGAAAUCGGAAGUACGACAAGAGAUCGAUUUUGGAGUCAGCUGUAUACAAGGAAUUGGAGAGCAUCCAAAAUCCUUCUUUGAUCUAACUUGACUGUAGUCUUGUUUUCUCUUACUCUCCUUCUCCUUUGGGUUUUGUAGAUGGAUUUUUUCAAUAUAAACUCUAAGAAAACCAUCAUGAACUGGCAACGUUCGGAUCUUCUCAACAUGAUGCAAUGAACCAAGAAGGGUGCAACCAGAAUUUUGAGUGCACAUAGAAUUUUCAGUGCUCAUAGACAAGGGCGACCAGAAGAAGUAUUGAUAGGCACUAAAGGAUCUCCCCUGCCUCAAGUAAUUCUUUCCACUUAAAAAUGCAAAUUAAUAAAGAUUCAACCAUUAAGGGCAUUGCUUAAGAUUGCUGAACUAAAGGUACUAUACAGAAUAUUCAACUUUGGAUUAUCAUUUUCCCUAGUGAACUAUUAGAUCCUACUCAAAAAAAAAAACACAAAACAGAAGAAUAACUUAAGUAUUCUCGAUAUGGUGAUCAAUAUUAUUGUGCUAUAGCAUAUGCAUGUGCAAUAUGAUUAUUAAGGCCCAGAAGAUGAGAAAGUCUGCACAUGGAUAAGAAUAAAAUUUAGAAAAUCUCACAUUAAUUGCAUUAACAGCAUAAGGCAUAUGUCUACAUGGUACAAAAAUGAAAUGCAUAGAUCUGAUCCAACAAAAAGUGGCAUUAGGCUUGUUCAUUAUGGUUGAAUAAUCUCUGAUAAAUACUAAAGUUAUUCUAACUUUACUGAAAGUUCUGCCAAAGUGCUAACUUUUAUAUUAGAUGAAUUGACUAAUAUGGAACAAGCUUAAGAAGGGUCGUAGAGAAUAAAUAUUGGAAAGUAUAAACUUGUUUCCAAAUAGGCCCUAUGUAGAUACGUGUCAAUAUGAAGUGGGAAAAAAAUAUACACAAAACAUAGACAAAGCAUAAAGAAGCAUAGGCAGUGGAGGAACAGCAUCCACCCUAGAGAGAUUAGCUAAACUGAUAUACAAGCUUUGUAUCCUUAAUCAUCCCUGAAAAGACAAGCUCUUUUUAUUGAUCGUUACAGAGAAUCCAACUAUGUUUUCACUUGAAAAGUAACGUAAUCAUUAUUCUGAGUGUAUUUUUCAGAAGGCAUUGGCCAAAAACCAGCAUGCUUCAAAAUAUGACCGAAAACCUAAAAUAAAAUAAUUUCGAAGAAAAAAUAACACAGAAAACCCAUGGCCCUAGUGCAACUCUGUUAAGGUUUUAAAUACUGUGGUAUCCUGCCGUCCUAGUUUUUGCAUGCGCCCAACACUCGGGAUGGUGGAUGUCCUAUCCCAACCCAUCCCAGCUCAUUUCCCAACACUCAGGAGUCAGGAAUGUACCGUCCCCACACUUGGGGCAGUGGGAUGCCCCACUGUUCCACUGGUAUUUAGAACCAUGAACUUAAAACCAGCCAUUCAACAAAAAUCUAAUUCCCAUUGGAGUAUUGAACUUAGGGCUUUCCUUAAAUUAUGAUGUUGUGCGGUAUAGACUAAUACUUUCCAACUUUGACUGAAACACUUGCCUAGCAUAAAGUUAUAUAACUUUCCCAAAGUAUGUGUAUACACUGUACCGUCAUGUGGUAGGUACAUUCAUGUAUGAGAAACUCAACCUUUUGCCCAUACAACUGACUAAAGACAUGCAAGCUUCCAGCUUCAGUAACACCUAAAUAACUCUGAUAAAUUGUAGAAAAAAGGCAUCCAAAAGAAUACAUUAAGAAUGUUGCAAAAAAAGUCACUAGAAUUUGUGAUUGGGAACCAAAGAAUGAUCAAGAUUCAAAAACAAGACCUUAAAGAAAAGCAUAUAUGUGGAAAACAUAUAAAACAUGUGAAAUGCAUGAAAUGAUAAAUGCAAUGGCACCAUUCAUACACGUGCACAAUGCUAUAAUGUUGUUUAGCGAGUUUAGAAUUUAAGUUUCAAAAAUAGAAAAUUCAAAAGUUAAAAUGUAACAAAAGGAGAACAGAAAUAACCUUCUUCCAUCAGGAUUGAAGGCCAAAGCAUUAAUUGGUCCAAAAUGCCCUUUCACACCCCCAAUUUCCUCUUGAAGAAUCUGUUCAACAAAGAGAAAAAACAAAUUCUUAAAGCCUAAAGAAUUGAAUCAAUGGCAUAACAUUACUCAAGGAAUUCAAACCUUAGUUGAAAAGGUAAUAUAAACAUUGCUUACCUUGUGAAAGAAUUUUGCUUCAAACUUCCCAGCACGACGAUCAGUAGUUGUAACAUGCGAUGCAUCCUGACCACCUCCAAUCACCACCUGAAGGAAAUCAAAUGCCAUGAUUAUUUCUCAGAAACAGAUUCAUCCUUUAGGUGCAUUAAACUACAAAGUUCUGAUUUGCAUCUUGUGAGUCAUUAAUCAAUCAAAGUUCCAGUCUGAACGGGCAGAACACCAACUGGACUUUUACCAGAUGAUUUAGAUAAAAGUAUAUAGAAUUGUAAAAAGUGUACAGUUGCAUAUAUCAAAAGCAACAUGGUAGCACAGAAUAUCAUUUUUGUAACAGACUUUAAUAAAAAACAGAAGUCCUGAACACUGGCAGGCAAAGGCAAAUAAGAUGCAAAUCAGAUAGUUUGCAAAGCCUUGUAGUGCAGACAAGAUGGAAGUGAUUCCAAUAUUAUAAAGUCUAAACUGACAAAUUCAUGCAUGCUUGUGCAGUUGUCCGGUUGUGACUGGGUGGCUGGCUCUGUGUCUGAGUGCUAUGCUGCAUCUGGAUGCUUCACACCAACCAAUAAUUGCUCAAAUGCAGAUAAACAAAAGGGGGGUCCAUUUAGAGCUUACAUGAUCAAGAAGCGGAGAUAUCGCACAUGCAUUGACUGGGCGUUCAGUCACGUAUGCCUUGAUAAGAGUUAGUGUUCUGGCAUCCCAGAGCUAAGGAAAUUACAUAAAAUUGGUAUUAGCAGAGAUACUAUUGUCCAAAUAGAAUUACUGUGAGGGGAAAUCUUAUUUGAUAUAGAUCAUGAAAAUCGAUAAGCUACAAUACCUUGGCAGAUUUAUCCAAUGAUCCAGAGAGGAAAUGAGACCCCUUGGCAGACUUUGACAGAGAAGUGAUAGGUUUCUGAUGACCAGUUUCUUUAUCGGAUUCUUUCAGCAGCUGCCCAGUCUACAGAAAAGAAAGCCCCCAAAAUCAUAUAUUUUCAUGAAACGGCAGUGAUUAAGAAGAAAUUUCAUGGAUAACUAUAUGGAAAAAAAAGCAUCAAUGUUAACCAUUAUGACAAGUCUCUUGCUCAUUUAAGUUCUACUAUGGCAUCAUUCAAAAUAAAAAAGAAUUAACUCAUUAACCAAAAAAAAGGGUUCCAGUUUCCAAACCUCUAGCUGGUAAUGCAAGGAAGAAAAAAUCAACCAAGCUGAAUAUAUGAAUUUGGGGGCGAGUGGUUUGAAUGGGAAAAGCAGGACAUCCAGAAGUUAGGAUACGAAGUUCAAACCAAAGCAAAAAUAUGAAGUAAAAGAAUUGUAUCUGCUAGAGUACUAAUUUUACGGAAGCAGAUUUCCCUAGUCUGGUGAUCCCUAUUUUUUUUCCCAGUGGAGUUCAUGAAUGAUGGAGAUACAUGUUCAGAUUGACCUGACACAAGAAGCAUCAGGGCUUCAUAUAACACUUGCUAGACUUACCAGGUCAAUUUAAAAGCUAUAGGUUUUAAGCUACUUCACCAACCAGGAGUCUUCUGCAAUUUAAUUUUUUCACUACAUACAUCACACAUUAUUAAAAAUGUUAGUUGGACACGUGACGCAGGUACCAAGCGUCCCGUCUGGAAAAUCCAAUACAGGAAUCUUCAAGAAAUUGACAUCGGAACACAUAAUUACAUUAUAUAUGCAUGUGUAAAUAUGUGCCUAUAUACAUGUAUAAUGAAUAAUAAGCUUGAGCUAUGCACCGUUAAGUACAUAAAAUUUGAUAAAAUGCUUGCGAAUUUUAUGUUAGAUUUGAUGAUUUUCACAUAGAAGUUGCAAAAAUGGAUACAUGAUGUUGAUGACAUCACGGCAUGAUGGAAUGAAGUAUCAAGGAAUGUCAUAAAGUGUACCAAGUGUCCAACUUUGGAGGGUCCAGGUAACAGUAGUUAGAGACUAUGUAAAGUCUACAAUGUUAAUCGAGUGAAGAACUAAAAGAAUCAAACUGUAAAUUCCUAAUUCAUUAGGUCAAAAGAGGAUUACAAAUUGGUAGGAAUUGAACCAAUUCACGAUAUAGUGCAAUGAAAUAUGAAAAACAAAAUGAGUGCAUAAGAAAUACUAUAGAAUGGUCAAAUAAAUCUUAUACGCAGCAAAUUUUGCUUAUAUAGUUCCUUCUAAAAAUUAAUUUUAUCAUCUAUCUCAUGGCUCUUGAUUGAAAAAGAAAAAAUCAAAGGUUAUAUGAAUCAAGAAAACAAAAUUUUCUCAACCUACCAAAGUUAUUAAGGAAAAGCAAAUUGCAAAUUACAAGUCUGACCCUGAAUGAAGCAAGUAAAAGUGAACAAACUUUAAGGCGAGCAAUAAAGAAGAGGCUGAUGCCAGCAUAAAUCUACACUACAUUACAAAAACAAGGUGCAUAUAUAUUUAAAAAGCGCUAAACUCUAGAUAUCUGAAAUGAAUGUGAGAAGAAAAUUUAAACAGAGAUAGAAAUCACCUGGAGAGAGAAACUUAUCUCAUAUAGAGCUAAUAAUUACUCAAGCAGACUAAACGAACAGAAAAGCAACUAGAGUUGAUCAAAAGUUUUGAUGACACAAACAACAAUCUCACAUGCAAAAAUAAAUGAGAAUAAUUUAUCUGCUAAGGGAAUAAUAUCCAUAAUUAUAACUACAAUCAUCAAAAACUCAUCCUAACUAUUCAAGGACUGGUAUGAAUCCUCAUGUAUCAACUGCAGCACGAUUUUAAGCUAUAGAGAAAAUGACCAGGGGUGUUCCUCAGUCAUAUAGGGGGCAAUAAGAUAACAAUUGACAAGAACAGAAGAUCACUCAGAAACAAACAUCAGUGCAAGCAUUCCAGUCAUUGAAAAAGGGCUUAAAAUGCCCAACAAGGAAACUAAGAAUAAAAAAAAUCAAAUAAGAAUACCCAGGUAUGAUGUCAAGAAAUGAAAGAGUCUUUAAUUUUGAUUCCAAGGUACACAUGAGGAAAGGUCAAGAUGGUUGAAAGAAACAAAUAGAAAAUAAUGGAAAGUACUAUUAUCUUCACAAUGAAAGGAGGUUUUAUAACUUUGUUUAGCCAUUAUAUUCUAGAGAUUCACAAGCGAUGAUGCAAGAAACAUGACAGAGUUUUUAUCACAACAUUUUUGCCAUGACAGUAAGAGAUACAUGUGAGCAAGGAUUGCCGAACCGGACCGUACCGCCCGGUUUGGGCCAAAUCGAGCCGACCCCGUCAGAGACCGGGUCGAUUUGCUUAUGGAAAACGGUUCCGGCCAAAACCACAGUAACACUGGCCGGAACCGGACGAACCGAACGGUUCCGUCCGGUUCGAACUGGUACCGAACCGCACUAGGUGUUGACAGGUACGUCAUCCAAUCCCAGUUCGGCAAUCCUCGCAUGUGAGGUAUACAUAAAAGAAUGGGUGCACAUAUAAUCAUGUUCUAUAUAUAUAAUGCCAAAUAAGCAAACAAGUGCAAGCCAUUCAGAUUGGAUAAAAUUUUAUAGAUGAGAUAUUCAGUGACCGACCUCCGAAUCCCAUAUACGGAUCACAGCAUCUUCUCCGGCACUUAUUAUGGUCUUAUUUAAAGGUCCCCAGACAGCCCUAUUGAUUCUCCCAUGAGGACCCUUGAUUGUAAGCACUGAUUCACCAGUCUCUGCCCAAAGAGAAAAAGGCCAAGAAUUUUGUAUAACAACAAGGCAGUGAACAGUCAAACAUAUGUCAUAUUGUUAAUUUUGCUUUCUAAUAUGUCUUACGUAGUCAGCCCCUUGUCAAGAAAGACAGCCUCUCAGCCAUCAGAAAGUUUUAACUUUCAACAAUGAAUGGCUUUAAAAUAGAGUCAAAAUCCUAAGUUCACCUGUCCAAAGUAGAUAGCAAGAAAUAUGCAAUGCAUACCAGUCAGCAGCAAUAAUGUUGCCUAAACAAAAAAAAAAAGAUGACCAAGCAGCAGCCAACCGUAAGGCUGUUGAUGGUGCACUGCAAGAUCACCGCAAACAUCAACAAGAAAGAGAGAGAGAGGAGGGGUGGGGAGGAAGAGCUUACAAAACUUAUAAAAAUAUCCAAAGCAUGCAAAAUCACACGUAUCAUUUUUUCAGUUAAUUAAUUAAGCUCAUUCAAAUGACAUCAUGCAGAUUGCUUUCUCCAUUUUUUAGUGUAUAUGCAAUACAUAAAAUGAUAUAGAGGAAGGCAACACUUUUCACAACAAUGGGGCAGAAAAUGGAGCAACACAAAAAGAAAAAAAUAAAAUUAGUGCCCCACAGAGGACUUGCUCAGCUAAAAAGAAAAUAUUAUUUAAAAGAGAUAAUAAAUGAUGAUCAACUUCAAACCUCCAACCAAAUGAUGUGGAGAAGCAAGUCCCAACUGGACCUUCUGAAGUGUUAACAUCCUUGCUCAAUCCAACAACUUCGACAAAAUGAAAAGGUCGUUAAAAUAAGGCUAAUAUUGACUGGAAGAUCUCGAAAGAUCUCCUGGCAGGAGAAAAAAUAUGCAUAUGACAAAAUGGUCCCAAACUCACCAUUACAACUAAACUCAUUUCCCAUCUUUCCUUUUAUUAGAAGGUAAUGACAGAGCUAACAUCCCAGGACAUCUAGACCACCCGUAAAACAUGGAACUACCAAACUGAACCAUGCAGGUCAAAGCAUGAACGCCUCUUUUGUGAGAACUGAACAGAGUGAGCUUAAAAUGAAGCUCCCUCAACAUCCUGCCUUCAAAUUCUAUUGUCAUCAACCUCACUUGUAAGUUAGUAAUGCCAUCAGAGCUUCAAUGGGCCUCUAAGCUCCAGCAAAGCGGGGAAAAAAAAGAAAUUUUUAACAGAAAUGAUGUGAAUACUCGAUUAUUCCAUACUUUACCAAAAGAAAUGUGGCAUAAGUAUAAAACAAAAGAAGGGCAAGAAAUACACAAUGCACACCAGUCAGCAGCAAUGAUAUUGCCUAAACAAAAAUACAAGCAGCAGCCAACAAUCUGGCAGUUAAUGGUGUGCACUGCAAAGAUCCUACUCUUCCAAGAGAGAGAGAGAGAGAGAGAGAGAGAAGAGAGAGAGAGAAGAGAGAGAGAGAGUUUAGGGAAGCAUGAUAUAAAUCCACCAUCUGCAGUGUUGAAUUAUUACAUAAGAUCUAAUUUAAGGAGGCAGCAAAGCUGCAAGACACCUUCGCAGAGUAACCAAUCAUUGGAAAUAAUGUUACCUAUAGAAUUUCGGACACAAACCAAAGAGGGAAAUGUGUCUAUAGAUUAGCAUCAAAUCAUCUCUAGGGUAUCGCACUUACAAGAAACAAAAAAGUAUGACGGGGAAAAAGAAUUAAUGAACCAGUCAUCCUCAAAUUCAGGUAAUGUGCUGAAAUCACAUUUUGAUGUUGAAGUAAUCAGGGUCAAAGUGAUGCAACCUCACGUAACCAUCCUCACCACCACUUGUGAAGCNNNNNNNNNNNNNNNNNNNNGAGAGAGAGAGAGAGANANANAGAGAGAGAGAGAGAGGUGGGCCUAGAAAACUUACACAAAAACUAAGUAUGCAAAAUCAUUGUAUCAUUUGUUUUUCAGUUGAUUGAUUAAGCUUAUUCAACUGAGUUCAUGCUAGGCAGUACCAUGUAUAUGUACCUUAU